RNAcentral lists this long non-coding RNA (66903 nucleotides) under Olea europaea (common olive). RNAcentral describes it as "long non-coding RNA (OEUR_LNC005742)". The record is from RNAcentral. Lineage: Eukaryota; Viridiplantae; Streptophyta; Magnoliopsida; Lamiales; Oleaceae.
UUCAAAUGACACACAAUUUUUGGAGAGUUGCAUGACUAAUUGAAAAGUGUUUUGUCUUUUGUAUCUUCAAAUGUACAACUAUAAUGAACACACAUUUAUUGUUUACCAAAUGCAUGAGAUCCAUGUUUGUUUAAAUUAACUUUUGUUUAGUUGGGUAUUCAAAAAUAUCAAACUAAACAUGUUUUGAUGAUCUACAUUAUUAUUUUUUUAAAAAAAAUUUGCCUGGUUUUAAUCAUUGACGAUGCAAUAAUAAUGAACAUUGGUAGAUUUAGGGUGGAGAAUGGUAGGUCACUUGCCCCACCAUUUUUUUUGUUUUUUUUUUUUUUUUUUUUUUUUUUUUUUUUUUCCCCCCCCCCCCCCCCCCGGGGUUUAAUGAAAAAUGUAAUACAUUGUUAGUAGGGGAAAAUUGGGAUUGUGUAUUAAUAUUAUGGUUAUAUUAUUUGUAGGAUUUUGAAAUGGACAAAUUAUCUAAUUAUUCGAAUAAUUCUAAUGUUUUAAAUCGGUGAAUAGUGGUUAAUAUAUUUCAUUUUAUUUUAUGUUAAAUUUAAAAUCAUUCAAAAAAAUUAAUAGUUUUUUCCCCAAUUAUUAUUGUACUAUAUUUUGGGUAAUCAAACAAUGUUAUUUCAAUCUUGAUUUAUACUGAAAGUUCAAAUUAUAUUUGAUUGAUUUGUACAUCUUCUAAUAAAGUGCUUAGAUGGCUUACGUUAAAGAUUUAGCAUCCGUAUGGCAAAUUUAUAAAUAGUUUAUGAAGAGGAGAGUGCUAAAACAAUGUCACGAGUUGCCUUAGGCGUAAUAACAAGCACUUAAGCUCCUACAAGUAUACGGUUAAAAACCUUGCCUUUUCAAGUAUAUAAUUUCUAUGCCUUGUUAUUAAAUGCCUCAUUUGUUACAUUCUAUAACUCAUCAUCCGUUCAUCUACUGGAAUUCUAGCUAGCGUCCAUUGUUUUUUUUUGGUCUUUAAUGUCUCAAUCAAUCGAAUGUGAGAACAAGUCAUAUAAACAUAGAGUGGAAAAGAAAUUUAAUCCUUCUCGGAUUGUGGGUGCACGAAUCUUUGAAGAAUUCGUCUCGAUCAUGCACCUCAAAAAUGAAGCCAAGUUUGGUAAGACCAUUAUGCUUGAUUAUAUGUUUGUCCUCAAAGACAUAAUUUAUGUCUUAAUACUAUGUCUUAAGAUUUUGUAGUGUUUUCCCAAUACACGGCAAAGGCCACAUAAUAAAUUUAGACGUUGCUUUUCCUCAUAAAUACCACCUACUUACUCACAGCAGUUUAGUAAAAAUCUGAUCUGGAAUGGACAAUGUCGAUAAUUGCUAUAUUAUAUUUACAUUUAUAUCUUAAAAUUAUUCCCUGUGAGGAUCAUGACUAAAAAGAAACUAUGUUAUUUUUCUUUAUAAACUUGUUUGAUUUGGGAAUUUGGUUGUACCCCCAAUUCAAAAUGUGUGUUCACCACUAAUAAUGAACACCCAUCUGUUGUACACCAAAGUAUGUAGCCCACGUAAAUUUUGUUUGGACAGGUAAUCAAAUUUCAAAUGACAUGCGUUUUUAUGAGUGUUACAGGACUAUUUAAAAAGAUUGGUUAGUUUCCAUAAUUAAUUGUACACAUAAAAAGAACACACACUUUUAUCCACCAAAUGUGCAGGAUCCACAUUUUUAUAUGUUGGCUUUUGUUCAUAUGGUGUUCAAAAAUUCUGAAUUUAGCCCUUGUUUGAGUCUCAUUCUUUUGAUAAGAAUGAAUUUUGAAUAGUGUAUUGAUGGAAAAUGUGUAGUUAAAAAAUAAGGAAAUAUUUUAGAUUUACGUGUAAUAUUAUUUUAUUGAAGAAUGGGUGAUUAAAAUGAUGCUAGUAUACUGUUAAAAAUGUAUUUUUUUCAAAGAAUGGGAAUCAAAUAGGGGCUUAAACAUUUUUACAAUUGUUAUGUGACUAUUUAAAAGGGUUUGGCUGAGUUUUCCUCAUAGAUAGUGCAACGAUAAAGGCCAAUUGAUCUAGCCUUCUACCCACUACAACUCCAACAUCACUUGAUUAAAAUGACAACUAUGCCCUUCAUAUUAAUACUCGCCAUAUCCCACAAAGCUCAUUGUAUCCGUCAUCUUUAUAUCUACAAAUUUCUACCAUAAAUUCAAAUUGUUUUUCCAAGGCUCACGUACUCUCAAUCUUAUUAGCUAAACUAAAAUAUUUCAAUUAGUAAAAUGGCGAAAAUACAGAUGAAGUCCUAGAAAAUCUGUGGACAGUUGUAUAUACAUGAUUGUCGGCAUCAAAUGUGAUGAUGGUGCCUACGUCACCGCCCAAUCAUGAUCUUUUGAGUGCCCUAUUACAUUAUUUUACCAGUCUCGAAUCUCAUCACAAUCGGGCUUUCAAGUCUAUGAACAUGGAGGAAAUUCUCGAUAAUGUUUACUAUGAUUCGGAGUGUUUUGCUUUGGAUAUAAUGGGAUUGCUGGUCUUCGUGUUGGUGCUGGAGGAGAAUUGAAGAUGAGAAGUAAUUGGGAGGAUUAGAAAAAAAAUCAAAAACAAAAUCAAUCUACCUAAAUAUGGAGAUAACAUGCUUCAAUUUUGCAGCUUUAGCAAGAGGGAAAUAUUUAUUAGAAACUUUCUAGACUAGAUCAUUCCAGAGGUACAGUUUUGAGGAUGAGUCUCACCUUUCUCUUUGAUUCUGGUCUUAUUUUCUUUAAAUUUAAGUUAGAAAAGAGACAAGGUGAGAAGACCAUCCCUGGGUCACUACAUCAUGCAUGUGUUGUGCAUUUGUUGCCCAAGAGGAAAAAAGUUAUUGAGAGUGCGUGCAUGUGUGUGUGUAUCAACUGGUUUAGUUCAUUUCUCAGCUCUAGACGGAGAAUCGUAUACGAACCAAAUCUCUCCGAUCUUAUAAUUUUUUACUUAAAUUUUCCAAUUAACUAAUUAAGUGAUCAAAGGUAAGAGCGCAAGGCUACAACUCUCAAGGGCUAACCCAACUUGAGCCCAAAAUUUUUUUCUACAAAUUUCAAUCCAAGCUCAUCUUUGCUUUACUUCACAAUUCACCUAACAAUCACUCAUUCUGUCAUCUAGAUUUAACAGUUGCUGUAGUUUUCAACCACUUCCUAAUCCCAAGCCACGACUUCAUCUUUCUUCGCUCCUCAAGAUUCACACAGGAACACCUCAUCAAAUCCUAUAUUUUCCCAUAUUAAAUCUUGUUAAUUGCACAAUUUUUGUUUAUUUACAUUUGUUAAUAGUGCUUUUUCAACUAUUUCUUAUUGAGCUUCUUAAUUUGAGAAGUAAAGCAAUGGAUGAUUAAUUUAAAUGGGUGAUAAGUACUUGCAAUACUUAAAAAUAUUUUAUUUCUAUAACUUGUAAUUUAUAUUUCAUUUUUUUUACAUAUAUUUGAAGGCCCGAAGGAAAGGAAUUUAGCGUUAUUAUUUACUUUUUGGUAAUUUGUAUGCUUUGAUGAAUGGAUUUUAUUAGACAACUUUUUAUUUAUAUAUUUUAAAAUUGGACUAUGUCAUUUCGUAAGAGUUUAGAUUGAACAUAUCUUUGGUUAGAUUAAUGUAAUGUUAUAAUAAAUAUUAAAAAAAUUAAUUAUAGUACAAAACCGAACAGGACCGAAUUGGUUCGGUUCCAUAAUUAUAUUUUUCAACGGUUCAACUUUUGAAAUACAUAAAAUUAUGGUCCAGGCCUAUUAAAAAUGAUCCGAAGUAAUCUUGAUACUUUGUCACGUUUCUUUCCUUUCCCAUAUGAGUUAAUUACAUUCAAUGUUCCGGUGAUCGAAAAAAUAGAUUUCCUUUCGAAUUGAAAUCUGAAUUUCUAUUUGUUUGGUAAUCUUUGUUUCCAACAAAUCUCAUAUCAUCAUUAUAAAUGACUACAUGAUACAGUAUUCCUGUGUUCUUGUUAUGCGCUUUAACGUCUAUGUUUUACCUUGUGUAAUGCACAAUGACAUGCACUACCUACACAUAUGUUGGACCAUCAAGGAAAGGAUGAUUAAAAAAUCAUUGGUAGAUUUGGUUCUUUUCUUUUUUUUUUUUUUUUUUUUUUUUUUUUUUUUUUUUUUUUUUUUUUUGCGAAGUUAUGGAAACAUCUGUUUAUUUCUUCUCGUAUUGUUGGUUUCUACAACAGUGUUUUAUUUUUUUCACUUGGAGUAAUAUGGUUAAUUCAUGAUUUCUAGGAAAAAUUUUCCUAGGCUUCAGGUAGAUAUGUUAAUAAAUAUGGAAGCAAACUUAUCACUUUCCGGUGAUAUAAUCAAGUCAAUUACAAUGUCAGGAUAAUCCUUCUAUAGGUUAAUCUGUGAGACAUGUAAAUCUAAUGAUGCAAGAAUUUGGUUGGUUUUUGUCCAAAUGCUAUUUGUUGCUACUCCGUAAAUAGUACUCUUUUUGGGAUAUGUAUUGCUUUUCUGAUAUUUAUUUCUUUGUUUUUAUUGCAAAAAAAGAUUAAGUAAAGAUGAAGAGGAGAAAUUCUACGCAUAAGUGUGGUUGUGCAAUGGAAUUAUACUUAAAGUUAGACGAUCAACGGAAGGCUGACUAAAAAAUCACUGUUAUAUUAGAUUCUUUGCUUUAGUUUAUGCCAUUCAAUUAACUUCUUUUCCAAAUUUGAAGAUACAUCUGUUUGUUUGCUCCUUUCGUUGUUUCACCAUUGGCCUUUAGUUAAAGAAACACACUUGGUUUCUCUCCUAUUGCCGAUCCCUGUGGUCCAAUUUAACAAUGUGGUCAUAUAAAGUACUCUUCAUAUUUAGUCACAUUUCUUCCUUUAGCAUAUGAGAAAAUUACGUUCAAUGUUUUGGCGAUAAAAAUGGAUUUGCUUUUGAUUUGAUGUUUGGAUUCCAUGGGUGUAUUAUUUCAUCAGUAAUGUGUUUCAAUUAAAUCUGUCAUAUCAUCAUUAUACAUGAUUUACAUGAUACAAUAUCCUCUAGUUUCUGUUGUGCUUCACAACCUAUGCUUUACUUCCCAAUGCAUAAGACCCAUGAUCUUAUAAAUUGACUUCUGUUCACCCACUAUUCAAAAAUGCAAAAUAAAACACAGUUUCAUGAGUGUACAUUAUUAUUUAAAAAGACCUUGGUUUGUUUUCAUAACUGCACUGGUAAUUAUAAUGAACGCACAAUGCAUGGGACUGGCUUAACUUUUGUAGAGAUAGUUGUUCAAAAAUUCUAAUGAGAUUCAUUUUUAUGAGCGUGACAUGUCUAAUUAUUAAACAAUUGGUUAGUUUUCGUUGAUGAUAGUGCAAUGAUAUGAGCAUGCAUUUAUUGUCCCCUAAACGUUAGGUCCAAAUUUUAUAAAUUGAUUUUUAUUUAUAUGGUGGUCAAAAUUUUUGAAUUUGCCCAUUUUUAUUAUUUUAUAAAUUUUAUUUUAUUUCCUUUUACAUUUAUCUGUUAUUAUUCAUGUUUGAUGAAUGAGAUUUUCAUGUUGUAAUUGAUUUUGGAGUAAUGUUUGAAAUUACUGGAUUUAAUGUUUAUGUUUGAUUUUCUCUCCUUUUUCCUUUAAACCAUUUCACUCAAAUUCGUGCUCCAAUCGAAAAUAUGUACUACAAAUUUAAGAGUGCAAAGGAUUAUGCUUCGGUUAUGAUUCAUGGGCACUUUAUUUCCAUUGCACACUUGAAAGAAAAAAUACUUGAAUCAAAGCACUUGGAUAAGGGUAAUGAUUUUAAUCUCCCUGUCACUAAUGCCCACAAUAAUGAAGGUUGGUUUGAUUAUAUAAUUUUUUUUAAGACUUUUAAAUCUGCAAAACAAAUUCUGGGCUUGUUAAUCGUUACGGUUCCUCUAAGUGUCAUUACCGCCCUCUAUUUUAUUGUAUUUCAAAUGAGAACAGAAAAAGUAUGAACUGCGUUAUGAUCAUUGAACUUUCUUCUAUGUAAUUUUGAAUGCCAACAGUUUUUCUGACAACUCUUGUAUGCUAUUAUUGAAAGCCAACUAAUAAAGCUAGUCAUUUAACUUACGGUUCUUAGAUUUGUGUCCUCUAUAUAUUUUGGUUGGGCACAAUGUAAAGAUCAUAGGCUUUACUGAUGUUUAUGGUUUUCUCAUUAGUUCUCCUUCGUGAUUUUUUAUUCUUAGAGUAUAUUGCAUAGUCAACAAGAAAUGAAGAUUGUCAGUAAUCAAGUACAUAAUUGGAAGGGAGAUCAAUGGUUUGGAGGCAUAUAUUGAGAACGAUGUAUUUGAUAAUAUUUGUAAUGGUGUAAUUAUACGAUGCUUUUAAAGUAUGAAAACACGUAGGCCACAAUUAUGGUAGUGCAUUGACUUAUUUUCAUUAAUGUUAUGUAUUUUUAAAAAAUUGCAUUAAAUUUUUUAUCCCACAAUAGAAACGUCUAGCCAGCCAUAGCGUUCAUGUGUUGUGCAUUCCCAGUUCAAGAUGAAAAGUUAUUGAGAGAGUGUUUGCUUUAAAAUUCGAUGUUCUGGAAAAAUUUCGAAUGAGACACAAUUUUGGAGUGUUACAUACAUGACUGUUUUGUCUUUUGUAUCUUCGAAUGUACAACUAUAAUGAGUAUGCAAUUAUUGUUUACUCAAUGCAUAGGAUCAACGUUCUUAUAAAUUAACUAUUGUUUAGUUGGGUAAUCAAAGAUACCAAACUAACAUGUUUUGAUGAUCCAUAUUAUUAUUUAAAAGAAGAAAUAUGAUGUUUGUUCAGACUUAAAGACAUGGAAGAAAAAAAAAGGACAGAUUUGGCAGCAGAUGAUUGAGUGUUUGUUAUUUUUAUUUUUCAAACAGUCCAAACAUAUCAUGUGUUGACAUGUGUGCACCCUAUUUUUAUCCUAUUUGUGUAGCAUAAUUCUAAAAAGAAUCUGGUUGGUUUUAAGGGCCGUGCUACUUAGACAAUCCCCUGUCCAAAUAAGGGGCAACGUGGCCAAAAAAAUUGUUUAUAUGGUGGUCAAAAAUUUUGAAUUUACCCAUUUAUACUGUUUCAUAAAUUUGAUUUUAUCUCCUUUUACAUUUUUAUGUUAUUAUUCAUGUUUGAUGUAUGAGAUUUUGAUGUUGUAAUUGAUUUUGGAGUAACGUUUGAAAUUAUUGGAUUUAAUGUUUAUGUUUGACACACUCCUUCCUUUAAAUCAUUUCACUCAAAUUUGUGCUCCAAAUGGAAAUAUGUAAAUUUAAGUGAGGUUUUUCCUCUUGGACAAUCCCCCGUACAAAUAGGGGGCGACGUGGUGUCUCCCAUUGGCCAGGGUGUCUAUGAACACCCAUCUAUUGUACACAAAAGUACAAGACCCACAUAACUUUAGUUUGGACACAUAAUCAAAUUUUAAAUGAGAUGUGUUUUUAUGAGUGUUACAUGUCUACUUAAAAAAGAUUGAGCAGUUUCCAUCAUUAACGGUACACACACAAUGAAAAUGCGCUUUUAUCCACUAAAUGCAUAGGAUCCACAUUUUAUUUGUUGAUUUUUCUUCAUAUGGUGUUCAAAAAUUCAGAAUUUAAACAUUUUUAUAAGUUUUACGUGACUAUUUAGAAGGGUUUGGCUGGUUUUCCUCAUUGAUGGUGCAACUAUAAAGGUCUUGAUCUUGCCUUCUUCCCGCCACCUGGGCCGGCCCUGGGAAUGUAGAGGCCCUAGGCAUUUAAUUAUUAUGGGGCCCCUCGACACAAAAUUUAUUUUACAAGUCUAACAAUAUGUAAAUCUCUAAAUAAUUAACACUUUUAUAUUAGUAAACAGAAUGGAAAAAGAAAUGUUUCUUACACUUAAAAACCUAAAAAUAUUCCAAAAAAUAUGAAACAUAAUUAGAGCACGUUUAUCCAAAUUAAAUUCGAAGAAAAAAAGAAGAAAUAAGAUGAUAAGAAAAUGAAGUAAAUAAUUUAUAAGAUGUACUUUCACUUUAUCUUCAUGUAAAUUAAAGCUUAAAUCUCCGGUCUGUACAUUUUUCACCUUUAGACUCGGUGCUAAAUAACUCAAAAAUCUUUUUUGCAGCUUCAUUACUUUUACUUAAUAUGGUGUCAUAAGUGCUUAAAGAUCAGGAUUAUAUCCAUACACAGACACGUAUCUAUAGAGGAGGAAGAUUUCCAAGAAUUAAAAUCACAAAAUGCGUGUAUAUAAGCUUUUCAAAUCCUUGUCCAAACUCCCAAUCACUUGUAAAUGCUUUCUGUGUGAAUCAGUCACAGUGCCAAUUUUUUUUCUUUUCUUUUUAAGAGAUGAGGCCCCCACAAUAUGAGGCCCAAGGCAGCGGCCUCACUUGCCUUGGGCUAGGGCCGGCACCAGUCGCCACAACUCAAACACCACUUGAUUAAAAUGACAACUAUCCCCUUUAUAUUAAUACUCGUCAUACUCCCCCCCAAAAAAGCUCUUUGUAUUCAUUGUCUUUAUAUCUACAAAUUUCUAUCAUAAAUUCAAACUAUUUUUCCAAGGCUCACGUACUUUCAAUCUUACUAUCUAAACUAAAUUAUUUCAAUUUCUAAAACCGAGAAAAUACAGAUCAAGUCUUAGAAAAUCUGUGGACAGUUGUAUAUACAAAGUUGUCAACAUCAAAUGUGAUGAUGGUGUGUACAUCACGGCCCAAUCACGAUCUUCCUAGUACCCUAUUACAUUAUUUUACCAAUCUUCAAUCUCAUCUCAGGCUUUCAAGUGUAUGAGCAUGGAGGAAAUUCUCAAGAAUAUUUACUAUGAUUCAGAGGGUUUUGCUCUGGAUAUAAUGGGGUUGUUGGUCUUUGAGUUGGCGCUAGAGGUGAAUUGAAGAUGAUGAGUAAUUGGAAGGACUAUAAAAAAAAAAAAAAAAAAAAAAAAAAAAAAAAAAAAAAAAAAAAAAAAAAAAAAAAAAAAAAAAAAAAAAAAAAAAAAAAAAAAAAAAAAAAAAAAAAAAAAAAAAAAUUNNNNNNNNNNNNNNNNNNNNNNNNNNNNNNNNNNNNNNNNNNNNNNNNNNNNNNNNNNNNNNNNNNNNNNNNNNNNNNNNNNNNNNNNNNNNNNNNNNNNNNNNNNNNNNNNNNNNNNNNNNNNNNNNNNNNNNNNNNNNNNNNNNNNNNNNNNNNNNNNNNNNNNNNNNNNNNNNNNNNNNNNNNNNNNNNNNNNNNNNNNNNNNNNNNNNNNNNNNNNNNNNNNNNNNNNNNNNNNNNNNNNNNNNNNNNNNNNNNNAAAAAAAAAAAAAAAAACAUAAUCAAUCAACCUAAGUAUGGAGAUAACGUGCUCCAAUUUUGCAACUUUAGCAAGAGGUAAGUAUUUAUUAGAGACUUUCUAGACUAGAUCAUUCCAGUGGUGCAGUUUGGAGGAUGAGUCCAGCCACUCUCUCUGAUUCUAAUCUGAUUCUCUUUAAACUGCAAAAAAGUUAGAAAAGAGACAAAGUGAGAAGACAAUCCUGGGGUCAUUACAGCGUGCAUGUGUUUUGCAUUCGUUGUUCAAGAGGAAAAAAAGUUAUUGAAAGAAAUGGCUCUUGUUUUCUCUCUCACGGGUUUGAUCCCACUAUGAUCUCAUUUUCGAUUAUUAAAAAUUAUAGCUGGAUAAACUCCCGAACUGAACCGAGAAGUUUGAUUCGAUUCUUCUUAGGUUAAAUACCCGAAUUAGUACUAAAAUCAAGAACUGACUUGUUUAUUUUAGUUUUCAGUUUUAGACUAAUAACCGAAAGUCCCUGAUUUUUGCCAUCUUUUUUUUUUAAUUUAAACAAGCUAAAUUAUUUUAUUUUUUUCGAAUAAAAUUUGUCAACUAAGUGAUUAACUGAAAGUGCGCAAGGCUCCAACUCUCAAGUGCUAAUCGAACGUAAGCCCAAAAUAUUUUUUUCUACAAAUUUCAAUCUUAGCUCAAAUUCACUUUCACCAUUCACAUAACACUCAAUCAUUUUGUCAUUUAGAUUUAGGCAUUGCCCUUAUUUUCAGCCGCUCUCCAAUCACAAGCCUCGACUUCAUCUUUGCUUCUCAAGAUUCACAUGAGACCAUAUAAUCAAAUCCUAUAUUUUCCCAUAUUAAAUCUUUUUAGUUGGACAAAUUUUUGUUUAUUUAUGUUUUUUAAUUGUGCUUUUUCAAUUAUUUCUUGUAGAGUUCCUUGGCGUGACAAGUCAAGCAUUGGAUGAUUAUUUAAAUGGUUAAUUAUCACUAGUAAUAAUUAAAAUAUUUUAUUUCUAUAACUCUUAAUUUAUAUUUCAAUUUCUAUAUAGAUUUGAAGAAAAGGAAUCAAUGAAAUGGAAUUAUCAAUAUUUUAGCGUUACUUUUUGGUAAUUUGUAUGCAUUGGUGAAUGGAUCUUAGUAGACAACUUGUUAUUUAUAUAUUUUAAAAUUGGACUAUGUUAUUUUGUAAAAGUUUAGAUUGAACAUAUCAUUUGUUGGAUUAAUGUAAUGUUAUUGUAAAUAUUUAAAAAAAAUUUAAUUAUUGUACAAAACCAUAUGGGACCAACCCGGUUCGGUUCCUUCAUUACAUUUGGACUAAUCGGCUCUACUUACCAAAUACCUACAAGUUCUAGUCCAGGCCUGUUAAAAAUGAUAUGAAGUAAUCUUGAUACUUUGUCACAUUUCUUUCCUUUCCCAUAUGAGAAAAUUACAUCCAAUGUUCCGAUGAUUAAGAAAAUAGAUGUCCUUUCGAAUUGAAAUUUGAAUUUCUAUUUCUUUGGUAAUCUUUGUUUCCAACAAAUCUCAUAUCAUCAUUAUACAUGAUACAGUAUUCCUUUGUUACUAAGAUGUGCUUUAUCAUCUAUAUGUGUUUUACCUAUAAUAUACAAUGACUUGCACUACUUACACAUAUAUUGGACAAUUAGGGAAAGAACGAUAAAAAAAAUUAUUGUUAGAUUUGGUUCUUUGCUUCAGUUUAUGCCAUUCAAGUAGCUUAUUUUACAAAGUUUAUGGAUACAUCGUGUUAGGUUUUAAUUUGUAUUGGUUAUUCGUUAGACAAAAGGAUUAUUAUAAAAGAGGGGUAAAAUUAAUUGGUUAGUUGUUUAGUUGGAUAGGGAGUCUUGGAAAUCAGUUAUUGAACAAGGAAAAUUGAUAUUGUACUUUGAUCAGCAUGCUGCUUAAGCCUUGCUCAAGCGGGUGCAUUACAAAGUCAAUCGAAAGUUGGUCGCUCGACUGUAGCUCACCUUUCGCUUGACUGUCGCUCACCUUUCGCUUGACUGUCGCUCACCUUUCGCUCGAGCGACAAAUCGUAGCUCGCUAACCAUUUGCUUUUUGCUCAAGCAAUUGCAUUAUCUGGGAAAAACCUAGUUCGUGUGUUUAAUCUGUUCUCUAAUUCUAAACAACCCCAAACUCUCCAAACUAUAAAUACCAAACCACUAUUUCGUCCAGAGGUUGGUUGAUCAUUGUUUUCUACCUUCAUAACUCCUUUGGAGAUCAAACAAUAAUUCUACAUCUUGAGAUCAAUCAACCACAAAUUGGGUCCAAAACAACCACUUCCUAAAUAUAAUGAGGAUGGUACUUUCUCAAUAACUUUAAGAGGUUUAUGAAGAUUGAGGGUGGUUGGAUCAAAAUUAUAUGAAGAGUAUGAGAACAAGGUAGUUUUGGUGAUCCACGAGAGAGCAAAAGACAAUUCUAUAAUACCGGGAGCUGGUGUGAGUAAAGCAUGUUUCAAUUGGUUUUGGAGAUUGCAGGAAUUAGAUCAGUGAGUCUAGUGUAUUUUUUAGACUGAAUAAUAUUGUAAGUUCUUAUUGGCUAUAAUGGAAGUCACUGGCUUAAUCCCAAAAUUUUUAAUCCCAUGAAGAAUUUUUUCCAUCAACAAAUCUUGUGUCAUUUACUGCUUUAUUACUAUUGUGCCAAUUCAAAAUAGGAUAAAAUCGACUUGAUUGACUAAACAUUUAGAAAAAUUAAAAGGUAAAUCAUUGCUUUUAAUUGAUAAUUUUAAUUCCACAUUAUUUACCUAUUCACCCCACUUUAGGUGAUUUUAGAGUCGAACUAGUAACUUUCAAUUGGUAUGAGAGCCUCAAUUCGAUUCUUAACACUAACUUAAUCCAGAUGAGUCAGUCGAUUUUCGUGCUUCCAUAUUUUGACAAAAGCAAUUACACCUAUUGGAAGGUUGGAAUGAGUUGAUUUCUAAAGUCUUUGGUUGGAUCGUCCCUUCUACUACUGAUGCAGGUGUAGUCACCCUUAUAGAGGUUGCCAGUUGGUCUAAAACUGAGUUAGAUAAGUGUAACUAGAAUAAUAAAGAGCCUCAUGCCCUAUUUAUGGCUAUGUCCGUCGAAGAGUUUAGGAGAGUAUCAAUAUGUGAGAACGCAAAAGAGGUUUGGGAUAUCCUAGAGACCACACAUGAGGGAACCAAAAUUGUUAAGAAUUCCAAACUACAGAUGCUGACCACUAGGUUUGAAGAAAUUAGAUUGAAGGAUGGUGAAUCAUUCGAUGAUUUUUAUGCAUACUUGAAUGACAUAGUAAAUUCUAGCUUCAAUCUAGGUGAGAGAGUUUAGGAAACGAAAAUUAUGAGAAAAGUCCUUAGAUCCUUACCCGAGAUAAUUAGGCCUAAAAUCACGGCUAUCGAGUAGAGAAAGGAUUUAGAUACAGUUAAGAUUGAAGAAUUAGUUGGAUCUCAACAAACUUAUGAUUUCAUUGUAUCUCAACCUAAGAAGAACAAGUCUAUAGCCUUGAACAUUGUUAGAGAAGAAAAGUAUGACUCUACUUGCACAAAGACAAUUAAUGAUGAGGAGAUAGCUUAUUUCGUUAAAAAAUUUGAAAAAUGUUUCAAAUUAAUAAAAUGCCUCAAGAGAGACAUAGAGGUGCUCUAGUGAGUAUAGAAAGAGAUUGAGAUGUCAUAAGUGUCGAUGUUGUGGUCACCACAAGACUAAGUGCCUUAAUAGUAAGAGAAAUAAGGGUAAAGCUAUGAAUGCAACCCUCAUUGAUGAUGAGUCUACUUUGGAUAAACAAAGUGAGAGGUUCACUCAUAAUGAGAGUAGGGAAUUUAUAGCCUUUUCUCUCCUAUAAAAAAUUAUCUUUCUUUUCUGUGUUUUGGCUCUACUAUUUUUACUCACAAUUAGCCACGUCACUAUCUUAUCUCCUACACUCAUUUUUCUUUUUCUUGAUUUACUUUUCUUCCUCACCUCUCAAUUUCAAUUAAUCCUCGUAGACCUAUUGUGGUGUUAAGGGUACAAAGGUAACGGCUCUCCCAUAUUUUGCAAAUUUGUACAUAUUCUUGAAUCCAUCAUGACCUGAAGAAUUCCUAACUCAUCUAUGCAAUCUACUAACAGAUUCCUUGACUUUUACAACUCUUUUAAUAAUAAUCUUUUGUCUUAAAAAUAGCUAAUACAAUUAAAACCUAACAUAAAGUAUUCUUGAUAGUUAGUUAUAUUUCUACCUUUCCCAUCCGAGAAAAUUACAUUCAAUGUUUUGGCGAUAAAAAUGGAUUUGCUUUUGAUUUGGUGUCUGGAUUCUGUGAGUGUAUUAUUUCAUCAGUAAUGUGUUUCCAUUAAAUCUCUCAUAUCAUCAUUAUACAUGAUCUACAUGAUACAAGGUCCUUUAGUUUCUAUUGUGUUUCACAAUCUAUGUUUUACUUGCUAUCAUGUAUAGCGAUAGGCACUACUUAUUAUUUGGCAUUCUAGGAAAGGAUGAUUUGUGAAUUUCUGGACUUGAUCAUUCCAAUGAUGCAGCUUGGUGGAUAUGAGUCCCGCAAUUCUGUGGGAUUCCAAAUAAUAAUAAUAAUAAUAAUAAUAAUAAUAAUAAUAAUAAUAAUAAUAAUAAUAAUAAUAAUAAUAAUAAUAAUAAUUUAAAAAAUAAAAUAUGUGAGAGAAGAGACAAAAAGAGUAGCACUUCCAUGGGUCGUGCGAACUUCAUGCAUAUGUUGUGUGUUCGUUGUUCCAUGGGAAAAAAAGUUAUUAAGUACUAAAAAUUCAAUGUGUUAUAAAUUUCGUACGAGACAAAAUUUUAUAAUAGUUACACGACUAUUUAAAAGGAUUUGAUCGGUUUCUGUCCAUGGAAACUAUAAUGAAUUUAUAGAAAUGAGUCUCGUUCAAAAACUUCUGAUGAGACAUAUUUAUAGGAGUGUUACGUGCUAUUUAAACACAAAUUGGUCGGUUUCCGUCAUUGAUAGUGAAAAUUAUAAUGAACAUACAUUUAUUGUCCACCCAAUGCAUAUGACCCAUGAUCUUAUAAAUUGACUUUUAUUCAGCCCAAUAUUCAAAAAUGUCAAAUAAAACACGUUUUGAUGAGUUUACAUUAUUUUUUAAAAAGAACUUGGUUUGUUUUCAUAAUUGCACUGGUAAUUAUAAUGAACGCACAUUUAUUUUACGCCCAAUGCAUGGGAUUGAAAUAACUUCUGUCGAGAUAAUAGUCCAAAAUUUCUAAUGAGAUACAUUUUUAUGAGUGUUACAUGUCAAGUUAAUAACCGAUUGGUCGGAUUUCAUUGAUGAUAGUGCAAUGAUAUGAGUAUGCAUUUAUUGUCAACUAAACGGUAGAUUUUAUAAAUUAAAUUUUUUUUUUUCAUACGGUGGUCAACAUUUUUGAAUUUAGACAUCUUUAAAAUUUUAUAAGUUUGAUUUUCUCUUCUUUUACUUUCUACGUUAUUAUAUAUGCAUUUAUUGUCAUAUAUAGUGCAAUGAUAUGAGUAUGCAUUUAUUGUCCACUAAACGGUAGAUUUUAUAAAUUAUUUUUUUUUCAUACGGUGGUCAACAUUUUUUAAUUUAGACAUCUUUAAAAUUUUAUAAGUUUGAUUUUCUCUUCUUUUACUUUCUAUGUUAUUAUAUAUGAUUGAGGCAUGAGAUUUUGACGUUGCAAUUGGUUUUGGAGAAAUGCUUGAAAUUAUAGGUUUUAAUGUUUAUGUUAGAUUUUCUCUCUUUUUUCCUCUAAACCUUUUCAGCCAGAUCUGUGCUCCAAUUGGAAAUAUGUACUAUAAAUUUAAAAGUACAAAGGAUUACAAUUCAGUUAUGAUUGAUGGCCACACUUUAUUUCCGUUGGACACUUGAAAGAAAAAUAUUUGACUCAAAGCAUUUGGGCAAGGGUACUGAUUUUGACGUCCUUAUCACUAACACCCAGACCAGUGAAGGAUGGUUUGAUUCUAUAAGAAUUAUUUUUAGACUUUUAAAUCCUUAAAACACUUUCUGGGAGUGAUGAUAGUUACGGUUCCUCUGAUUGUCAUUCCCGCCCUCAGUUUUAUUAUAUUUUAAAUUAUAAUAGUAAAAAAAUGGGCCAUUUAGGUUAUGAUCAUUGAACUUUCUUCUAUUUAGUUUUGAAUGCAAACGGUUUCUAUACCACCUCUUGUAUGCUACUAUUGAAAGCCAACUAAUUGGUGAUUAUAUAUUGUGAAUAAAGCUAGUCAUUUAACUUACCGGACUUUGAUUUGUGUCCUUUACAGUGGAUAGGCACAAGGUAAGGAGUGUAGGCUUUAUUGAUGUUUAUGGUUUUGCAUCACUUCUCCUAUCAGAUUUUUUAUCCGUAGACUAUAUCACAUAGUCAAAAAGAAAUGAAGAUUGUCAAGAAUCGAUUGCAAAAUCAGAUGGGAGACAAAUGGUGUGGUGGCAUAUAUUAAGAACAAUGUAUUUGACAAUAUUUAUAAUGAUAUAAUUAUAUGGCAUUUUUAAAGUAUGAAAAUGCAUAGGUCACAAUUUUAGUAGUCUAUCAACUUAUUUUCGUUAAUAUUACAUAUAUUUUUUAAAAAGUUUCAUCUAACAGAAGAGAAAAUGUCUGGCUCUUCCAUCGUGUUCAUGUGCAGUGCAUUCUUAAUUCAAGAUAAUUAAUAUAUACAUAUAUGUAUAUGUAUACAUAUAUGUAUGUGUAUAUGUAUAUGUAUAUGUAUAUACAUAUAUGUAUAUGUAUAUGUAUAUGUAUAUAUAUACAUAUAUAUAUAUGUAUAUAUAUAUUGUUAUUGAGGGAGUGGCUGCAUUAAAUAAUCAAUGUUCUGCAAAAAUUUCAAAUAAGACACUAUUUUUGGAGUGUUACAUGACUACUCGAAAAGUGUUUUCUUUUGUAUCUUCGAAUGUACAACUAUAAUGAACAUGCAUUUUUUGUUUAUCCAGUGCAUGGGAUCCACAUUCUUUUAAAUUAACUUUUGUUUAGUCGGUAUUCAAAAAUAUCAACUAAAACAUGUUUUGAUGAUCUACAUUAUUAUUUAAAAAGAACUUGGUUAGUUUUCAUCAUUGAUAGUGCAAUAAUAAUGAGCACCCAUAUGUUGUAUACCAGAGUACGGGACCACGUAACUUUUGUUUGGCAUCUUAGAAUGGGAUAUCACUCUAAUCAAAGAAUGAAUUUGCUACAUAGCAUAGACCCUAGUAUUCCGAGUUUUGAUGCCAAAAAAUUUUGUGAUGCUUGCCAUAUGGGAAAACAGACCAGAUUACCGUUUUCCUCUAGGCACCAUUUUGUAGAAGUUGUUUUUGAUUUAAUAUACCUUGAUAUUUGGGGCCCUUUUUCUGUUGCGUCAUUGAAUGGAGCACACUAUUUUCUCACAAUAGUUGAUGAUCACAACCGACAACAUGGUUUAUAUUAUAACAAACAAAAGUCAAACUAGAAACAUCAUUGAAAGUUUCUUUAACCUCAUUGAAAAUCAGUUCAAAUGUAAAAUCAAGGCUAUAAGAUCUGAGCAGGGAAUGGAGUUUAACAUGACAUAAUUUUUUUCAAAAAGGGGAUUGCUCCACUAACGAAGUUGAGUGUAUACACCACAACAAAACUUAGCAGUCGAAAGAAAACACUUGCACUUCUUGAACGUAGCAAGUGCUUUGCGUUUUCAAGCUAGCCUACCUUUAAAAUUUUGGGGAGAGUACAUCCUAACUACUACUUAUCUCAUAAAUAGGGCACCCUCACCAAAUUUGAAAAAUUAAAGUCCUUACUAGCUAUUUUUUGGUAAAACACCUGACUAUUUUCAUUUAAGAACAUUAGGAUGUUUGUGCUACGCAUCAAAUCUUGAUCUCCACAAAAAUAAAUUUGAUCGUAGAGCCCAAAAUGUGUGUUCAUUGGAUAUCCAAAUGGAAUGAAAGGUUAUAAAGUUUUUGACUUGAAAACAAGAGAAAGCAAAACUAGUCGAGAUGUGAUCUUUUAUAAAGACAGAUUUCCUUUUUAGCAAAACCACAACUUGUCUUCUCUGUUGCCUACACCAGAAAUCACUACUUUAGAUGAUGUUCGAGUUAUACUAAAUCCCAUCUCAGAGAGUUUUGAUCAUCCUUCACAAAUGAGCGACAAUUCCAACUGUUUGCAAGAAACAACACUUGAAAUUGAUAACCAUAAUCAUGAGGAAUCUCCUACUUCAAAAGCUAUCGAAUCAUCUCCUCUCCCAUCCUUUGAACCACCUUCUAUCCAAGAACCCCUAGAUCCACUAGAAUCAGAAACAGGCCCGAAUACCUUAAAGAUUUUCAUUGCAGGUUGGCAAAUUUAGGGCACUCUUCCUUUUGAUAUAAUAGCUCCUAGAGGUAACAAUUAUUCUCUUACUUCAAUUCUUAAUUAUUCUAAACUCUCACCUAUGCACUUUGAAAUAAACUCUAUCCAUCACCCUUGAGUCAGAGCCUCACACCUUUGAAGAAGCCAAGAAAUUCUUACAUUGGAGGAGUGCCAAGAAUGCUGAAAUUCAAGCUCUUCAAGCAAAUGAAACAUGGAAACUGACAAACUUGCCUCUAGGGAAGAAACCACUCGGUUGCAAAUGGGUCUAUAAGACCAAAUAUAAGGUAGAUGGCAGUAUUGAAUGACACAAGGCCAGAUUGGUGGUGAGGGGCUACACUUAACCAGAAGCAGAAGAUUAUUUUGAAACCUUCUCCCCUAUUGCCAAGAUGCCAACAGUGAGAUGCCUUCUGUCUAUUGCUGCAUGUAAAAACUGGUCUCUCCAUCAUCUUGAUGUUAAUAAUGCUUGCUUUUAUGGAGAUUUGGUUGAGGAAGUAUUUAUGAGUGUGCCCCCAAGAUGUGGAAGUGAGUGGGAGCAACAAGUAUGUAGGCUUAAGAGGUCUCUUUAUGGCUUAAAGCAAGCCUAUCGUCAAUGGAAUAAAAAACUCAUAUCAGUUAUCAUCAAGAUUGGUUUUAUCCAAUCUAAAGCAGAUUAUUCACUCUUUAUCAAGAAAACUGAUUCAUCUUUUAUCUUAAUGCUUGUAUUUGUUGAUGAUAUGGUGAUUGCAGGAGACAAUGAAGAAGAAAUACAGAAACUAAAACAAUAUUUGACUGACCAUUUUAAGCUAAAGGUCCUUGGAAAGUUGAAAUAUUUCCUAGGCAUAGAAGUUGCCUGAUCGAAGGAAAGGAUUUUCAUUUGCCAAAGGAAAUAUGCCCUGGAAAUUCUACAAGACUGUGGACUUCUUGGUGCUAAAUCUAUCCAAUUUCCCAUGGAACAAAAUUUGAAACUGAAUGGUAAAGAAGAAUAAGCCAUGGCUGAUCCUAGAUAGUAUAGAAGACUAAUCGGAAGGCUAUUUUAUCUAACAAUAACUAAGCCUCAUAUAUCAUACUCGAUACAAGUCCUAAGUCAAUAUCUUAGGCAGUCGAAAGAUGUACAUUGGAAGGCAGCAUUAAGGGUAGUAAGAUAUGUUGCAGAAGCUCUCUUGAAAGAUCUUCAAACCGGUGAUUUUUGAGCUCAGUCCAAUGCACCUUUCUCAACCAACAACCAAUCCAACCGGCUCCAAACCACAACCAAUUGAUUCACCUUGGUUGCUAUCCAAUCUUACCCACGUAUGACAAGAAAGGAUGAUGAUUUAUGGCCGCAAAGGCUAAGAGAAGACACCACAAAGGUAUACUAUGAAAGAACCACCAAUUGCACACGUUAUACAAGCGUUCUGGACACCUUUUUUCUCACACAAAAGGGGACAGCCGGGAUUCACUUUUUCUUCUCUCAAAAUCGCAUAAAACAUCAUUAGAAAGUGGCUAAGGUUAUAGCAAAAUAUAUACUCUAGGGUUAGGCUUUAAGUUGGGCCAUUAAAGGGGUAAACGGGCCAAGAUUCAACCCAUCCAUAAGGAAAUACAAUUGGGCCGGGUGUAACUCAUGGACUUUGUUGUUGCACUUAUUUCAUUCAUCGGCCUAUGCCUAUGAAAUAAUAUUAACCCACGUUAACAUCAUAACUCGGGAUUUAUUGAGUAUCAAAAACCCAACAAAUCUCCACCUUGAUUCCCAAUAAAUCUGCAAGCAAUUAAAACACACAGUUAACACUUGCAUAAUCAAGGUAGCCAAUAAAAUUGAAUCACAGACCUUACCUCAUGUUUCCAACUUGAAACACAUACCAUACCUGCUCCAUGUACUCACUAGGGCUAAGGUCAAAAAAGCCAAAGUAGAAGCAAAUAUUUAAUAGUAAACAAUCAAGAGCAAAUAUAUGUGCGAUGACGAUAUACUAUAGGAUAACAUACACAGAUCUUUUCAGAAGCAUGUUCAUAUAGAACCAAAGAUUAACACCAAGUCAAUCAAACUAUAGUCAACCACAUAUGCAACACAUGCAUAAAUGACCAUAAGAAAAGAUCUCACCACACUUAUCCUAUCCCAUUCCGUGUUGCUCACACCUCGAGAACACAUAUCUCCUCUCAUUGCCCACCAAGCUCACUAGACAGAUCACUUAACUCAUGUCUAACUGGCAAGUCUCAAUAGAUCCUAAGUCCACGGGAUAAUCCUCUAUUUCUACAUCACUUCUCCCAACCUACGUAGAUAAUCGGUUUCCACCUAACAGAAGUGAUAAAAGUGCCUCUCUCACACUCCACCUGAUCAGGGUCUCUUUCCGGAUAAAGGAUUCUAGACAUUUGAUCACAUCUCCACUCAUAAUCCAAAUGUCACACUCUACAUCCCUAGUACAAACCAGCAUGUACCCCUAGGCAUCUAUACUCCACCUUACCAAAAGACACACAACGCACAACUAAUGCAUCACAAACUCACUACAGCAAAACAACACCUUUCGACGACCACAAAGGUUACCCCAAUCACCAAAGCUCCAAAAAACCCACAAAGAAAAUGGCAAAGGUGGCACUCACAAAGAAAAAUCGAAGAAAGAGUCGGUUACUUCACAAUACUAACAAAUGAGGCUCACAAAGAUAAAAAAGGUAACCCUAACAUGGCUGCCUCACAUAAUUUCACCAACCACACAGGCUCACAAAGAUAAAGGAGAGAAACGACUGCCCAACUUUCUUCUCACCACCACACUCUCACACCACUCACAGAGCAAAUAGAGUACACCACAAAACUUAACCCACUAUGCAUGUAAACAUAUUACACAAAGUAAUAAAUCACUCUAAUUCAUGCAAUUACACACAUCAAACAUAUUGAAAGUGUAACAUCAACAUUGCAACAGAAUUAAGUGAUCAUAUACAUGCAAAAAGGAUUAUACACAGAUGCGAUGCAGUAACCAAGUUUAUUCUCUCAAUAAAUAUCAUUAGGAUCAUUACUCGACCCUAAAGUCACAUUCACCUUGUCCCUAUUCUCAUCUUUCCUUUUAUUAUCAUCCUAGGACAAUCUCUUUCAACUAUACCCAAAUUUUACCACAGUUAAAACAUAUUAUAUUUUUCGCAUUUGUCUUAGACCUAUACAUGCCAACAAUACCAAAUGAUGACCACAAGCAAAGUACUGACACAUAAUUCACACAGAAUAGUCAAGUAAACUUUCCUAAGGUCACAUCCAAUUCUAUCGGUGAAAAAAAAAUUGGUAACAAAUUCACAGAUAAAUUAAGACAACUAAUUAACAUGCAAUUUCUAGGUCUAACAGCAGGCAAUGGUUACCCCUUUACGGUAACCCCAAACCUAACGUCACAUCACACAAUGACUUCUAAUGCGCAAAAUUAAUAAUUAACCUAUACAUUAAUUUUAACUGCAAUAAUAAAAGGAAAAGAAUACGAUACCGAGCGGAGCACUUCUGAAGGUUCGUAAAUAUUGAGUUAUACGAAUUCACCAUUUUAGGACUAUCACUAUUCGUCCUAAAGUUUCCGAAAACUACAGCAACCAAAAAAUCACGAUCGAGUCCCGAACGCCCAAAAAACAACGCUGUCCAGAUUCUACUGCGUACCCUGAAACAGAAAACUUUCAACACGAAAAAUGUCAGAAAUAAUAUGAGGAACAAAAUGCCUGAAGGGACCUCCUCGAAAUUCCCUCUCAUGCGCCCUCACGUGGGGAUCCUUCCCUCUAUGCAUGGGCCUCACAUGUCGUCACACGCGCUAUCGUAGACCGACAUGUGCCACCUUACAGGGUUUGCCUCCACUUGCACGUCACGCCAGUGGUCUCCGUUUCCCAAACUCCUUCUGGAUUGAUCAGAAAAUGCGAAAAAUAGAGACUGAUUUUGACAAUUUUUGGACAGCUUCUUCGAUCUGAUUUCUACUACAAUUUCUGGACGUUUUUGGUAUGUUUCAUGAGCUAAAACCACCACCUUGAAGCUCUAAUACCAAUUUUUGUGGAAGCUCUCUUGGAAGAUUUUCAAAUCGAUGAUUUUUGUGCUCAGUCCAACGCACUUUUCUCAACCAACAGUCAAUCCAAUCGACUCCAAACCACAACCAAUUGAUUCACCUUGGUUGCCACGCAAUCUUACCCACAUAGGACAAGAAAGGAUGAUGAUUUAUGGUUACAAAGGCUAAGAGAAGACACCACAAAGGUAUACUAUGAAAUAAUCACCAAUUGCACACAUUAUACAAGCGUUCUGGACACUUCUGGACACCUUUUUUCCUAGACAAAAGGGGGCAGCCGGGAUUCUCUUUUUCUUCUCUCAAAAUCACACAAAACAUCAUUAGAAAGUGGCUAGGGUUAUAGCCAAAUAUAUACUCUAGGGUUAGGCUUUAAGUUGGGCCAUUAAAGGGAUAAACAGGCCAAGAUUCAAGCCAUCCAUAAGGAAUUACAAUUGGGCCAGGUGUAGCUCAUGGACUUGGUUGUUGGACUUAUUUCAUUCAUCGGCCUAUGCCUAUGAAAUAAAAUCAACCCACGUUAAUUUCAUAGCCUGGGAUUUAUUGGGUAUCAAAAACCCAACAAGAUAUUUGAAGACAUCCCCAUCACAAGGGUUGAUUUAUCCAGCAAAAUGUAAGCUACAGCUGACUACCUUUUGCGAUGCAAAUUGGGGCAGUUAUCCGGAAACUAGAAGGUCCAUUGCCGGGUUUUGUAUUUUCUUUGGAGAUGGUUUAAUAUCGUGGAGGUUAAAGAAGCAAAUGACUGUGUCUAGGUCCUCUGUUGAGGUAGAAUAUCGAUCAAUGGCUACAACAACUUGCGAGGUCGUGUGGUUUAAAAGCUUGUUGAAUGAUUUUGGCAUAUCUGUUGAAAAACCGAUACAAUUAUUCUGUGAUAAUCAAGCAGCUGUUCAUAUUGCUUCAAAUCCAGUUUGCCAUGAGGGAACAAAAUACAUAGAAAUUGAUUGUCACAUUGUGAAGGAGAAAAUACAAAUCGGUUUGAUAAAGACGUUUCACAUCUCAACAAACUUGCAAGUUGUAGACGUAAUGACAAAGACAAUUGGUUCAAAGAAGUUCCAAUAUCUCUUAGGCAAGAUGGGGAUUUAUUCAAUUAUAUCUCCAUCUUGAGGGGGAGUAAUGAGAUAGAUAUUUGAAUUAAAUAUGGCAGAAAACAUAGGUUAUUGGAACAAGAAAAAUUGCCUCCAAGUUUUGUAAUUAAAAAUUGCCUAGAAGUUUUUUAAUUAUCUGUUGACCUUUUACAAAGGAGGAAAAAGCUCUACAAGUGAAGAAAUAGAGUGGCUAUUUUGCCAAAAAGGGAAUGGAUUGGAAUGAAAGAAAGUAGCUGUGUUAUUAGUCCUAUAGUUGUUAUGUUUAGUCUGUAUUCAUCUUUGAUUUUCGAAAUCUGAUUUUAAUAGAUAUGCAUAGCUCUCUCCUUGUAUAUUUAAAGUGGAGAACGCAAGGAAAUAAAGGAAAUAAAACUUAAUCUUUACUGGUUCAUUGUUGGCAACCAAUACUUCUCUCUUCUUUUUUGUUACUUACAUCAUGCAUGUGUUGUGGGUUUGUUGUUCAAGACUGCGAUAGUAUAUGUAUUAAAAAAUAAUAUUUUGCAAAAAUUUUGAACGAAACACAAUUUUUGGAGACAAUUCAGAAAAUGUUUUGUCAUUUCUCUCUUCAACUACACAACUAUAAUGAACGCGCAUUUAUUGUUAACUUAAUGCAUGGGACCCAGUUCUUAUAAAUUAACUUUUGUUCAGCCAGAAAUUCAAAAAUAUCAUAUAAAACACUUUUUGAUGAUUGUACAUUACUAUUUAAAAAGACAUUUUUUUUGGUUUCCCUCAUAGAGUGCAAUUAUUUUGAACAUGCAUUUAUUGUGCACCCAAUGUAUGGGAUCUACGUAUCUUUUGUUUAGACAGGUAAUCAAAUUUCAGAUGAGAUGCAUUUUUUUGAGUGUAACGUCAAUACUUAAAACUAUUGAUCAGUUUUCAUCAUCUAUAACGAACACGCAUUUUUAUCCACGAAAUGUGGAGGAUCAACAUUUUAUAUGUUGCCUUUGAACAUUUCAAAUUUAGACAUUUUUACAAGUGAUGAAUGACUAUUUAAAAAGUAUUUUGCAGCGUUUUCAUAAAUGUGCAACUAUAAUGACCAAUUUGCAUCGCACCAUACCCAUCACACCUCCACCAACAGUUGAUUAUAUUGAUAAGUAUGCCUUUUAUCUACUCCAACAAACAGCUUUUAGUGCCCUCUCUCUGCCUUUUUCACUUUCUCUCUAUGUACUAAUCUUCUUAUAACUGCAGGUUCUUAUCAUAAAUUCAAAUUGUUUUUACGAUGUGGAUGCACUCUCAAUCUUACUAUCUGAGCUAAAAUUUUCAAUUUACAGAAUGAAGAAAAUAUGGUUGAAGACUUUGAAAUUUGGUGGAAAGUUGUAUAUACAUUAUUGUCAUCAUCAAAGUUGACGAUGGUGUCUACAUCACAGCGCAAUUGCGAUCUGCCUAGUUCUCAAUUUCAUUCUAUUACCAAUCUCCACUCUCAUCAUAGUCGGGGUUUUUCGUCUAUCAGCAUGCAGGAAAUUCUCAAGAAUAUUUACUUUGAAUCAGAGUGUUUUACUUUCGAUACUAACGGGGUUGCUGGUUUUCGUGUUGCUAUCGGAGGAGAAUCGAAGAUGAGGAUUAAUAGGGUAGACUACAAGAAAAAUCAAAAACCAAAUCAAUCUGCCUAAAUAUAGAGAUAACAAGCUUCAACUUUGCAACUUUAGCAAGAAGGAAGUUUUUAUUAGAAACUUUCUAGACUAGAUCAUUUCAAUGAUGCUGUCUAGAGGACGAGUCUAGCCAUUCUCUUUCUCUCUCUCUCGAUUUUUUUUGGGCUGGUUUUCAUUAAAUAUUAAAAAAGUUAGAAAAGAGACAAAAACAGAACCCCAUCCAUGGUUCAGGCAUACAUCGUGCAUGUAUUGUGCGUUCAUUGUUCAAGAAGAAAAAAGUUACUGACACUAUAUGCAUGAAAAUAUUAAAGUUAUUUAGAGAAAUGGUCCUUGUUUUCCCUCCUACAGUUCUGUGCUCGUGAUCCUGUUGGGAACCUACUUAUCAUGCACAGUGAAAAUAAAAACGAAUUUCAAUUUUCACCAGGACUCUUCUUUGUGUUUAGAUCGGAAUUGUGAUAGAUGUUGUACCUUUUUCAAGAUCUGCAAAAUCCUUUCCUAUUCCUUCAUUCCAACAAUCUUGAUUCGUCCUCACAGCUGUCCAAUCAUGCAGCCUCUAACGGUAAUCCACACAGAGAACAAGAUUGCAGGAUUAUGAUUUUUUUCUUCUUGUGCUAGCAAGAAUGAAUUCUCUACAAAUUGAAAACCCUAACUGCUUAUUUAUAUAAGCCCAAACGAGCUUGGCCUGACUCGGUACAAUAUUUAAUUAACCCAUUUAAUUGAAUUUGAUCCGUGAAUUAAUUAAUUAAUUAAUUCGGGCCUAUAAAUAAGUAAUCCAAUUAAUUAAUUUAUCCAAUACUUGUUAAAUUAAUUAAUCGACAAAUCACAAUCUUUCAGUUCUUCUUUUGUGUAUGACUUAUCAGGUUCUCAAUCACGAUAUCUAACGACGUGAAAUAUCAUUUUGAUGUAAUCAAAAUUGAUAAAUUAAAAUACUAUUUUAAUUUAUCACCAAUUUACACUCGCUGUCGCAGAUUGACAUUUAGCAAUGUGUCAAGGCAAUACAUGUGACCGAAAAUGUCACGUAGUAUGACAAAACUUAACUCGUUUGUUUACCGUGAAACUAUAAUCCGAUCAAUUAUGAGAUAUGAAAGUGUGUUAAUCUUGAUUAUCGAUCAUAUCUUUCACUCCACUAUUAUGUCAAUAUAAGUCGAAAUCUCCUUUUCGACUUCUAAGUACAUCUUGGUCAAGGAUUUCGUUAUCGGCUUAAUUGAAUGAAAAGCAUAUCAUAAUCUCUUACUAGCUAAGAGUGACAAAUCAUCUAUGGUCAUUCACAACCUUCAUACGAUUCUUGAUAUACCCGAGCAAUGUCGUAAUAGUGGCCCUUGGUAGAACAACAUCUAACACCGUGAAAGCAUGACUGUUCUCAUAUAAUGCACUAUGACGACCUCAAGUUAAAGGAAAAAUUCCACUCCCGAAUGUUAGAGAUUAACCACUGACACUCAGAUAGUUAUCCAUGUGGAAUCUCUCAACGGGUCUCCAAUGUUUUGUUCUAUAACAAAACAUCCACGGUUCAUUCAAGUGUCACUACACUUUAGCUUGUGAGAUUAACUACUUACUUCACAAGUAAGGAAUGUCACACGUGAUGGUUUUUCCGUAAUAACAAUAUUCGCAUCUCAUCAUUACUUACGACCACGGAUGAUUUAAGAUUCAAUCAUAUGUAAUUUGAAUAUCACAAUCACAAAUCCUUGAAAUUAAUUACUAAGAUUUGAAUCUACGGACUCCAUUAUUUAAUUUAAUUGAAUAUUAAUUAAUUAAAUAAUAGAUCUUCUAUAAAUCGCAUUAAUUAUAUAUUAAAAGUGUUUAUGUCCAAGGUCAAUUAGACUUAGGGCAUAAUACUUACAAAUCCCAUUUUACAUUGUUAAAAAUGAUUCGAAGUACUCUUGAUACUUUCUCACAUUUCUUUCCUUUCCCAUAUGAGAAAAUUUCAUUCAAUGUUCUGGAAAAAAAAAUUAUUGAAGAUGGAACAGUUCUGAAACCACCUUGUUGGACCAGAAGGCGACGUAAAAUUUGAGAUUUAAUGGUGUAAUAUGAAAUAUAUAAGAUCACAACCAAUAGAACAAGAUUAAAGUAAAGAAAUAAAAGAAGAACUAUGUAGAGGAAUCAAUAUUUUAUUAAUUGACAAUAGCAAUAUUGGCUUCACAAAUGUAGACAAAUAGUCAAGUAUUUAUAAGGAAAACUACAUCCCUAUAAGUAGAAUUGUAGAUGAAAUGAAAUGCCAAAAGUUUUCUUAUUUGAUCUCAUCAAGUCCACAAAUUUCAAUUCUGAAUAGGCUUUCACAUAGAACUUUAGCUAGAAUUUGUCAAUUAAACUUGAAUAAGAUUUCUCAAUAGUAUUCCAAUUAAAAUUCAUCCUGACGUGCACUUCAAUUCGAACUCCACAAUUAUUUCAACUAGGAAUUCGAGUCACACCCAAAUUCUAACAGCGAUUUCCUUUUGAAUUGAAAUCUGAAUUUCUAUGGGUGUAUUAUUUCUUUGAUAAUCUCUGUUUCCAUCAAAUUUCAUGUCAUUAUUGUACAUGAUUUUCGAUAAUCUCUGUUUCCAAUAAAUCUCAUAUCAUCGUUGUACAUGGUUUACAUGAUACAGUAUUCCCGUGUUUCUGUAAUGUGCUUCACCGUCUAUGCUAAACCUUAUAUAUUGUGCAAUGACAAACACUACUUACAAAGAUUUAUUACCAACAAGGAACUGGUGAUCAAAAAAUCAUUGUUAGAUUUGGUUCUUUGCUUUACAUGAUUUACAUGAUACAGUAUUCCCGUGUUUUUAUUUAUUUAUUUAUUUGUUAACUUCCUGUAUUACGUGGUUCAUGCAACUACCUUCUUUUAUAUCUUGAUGUUUAGUAAUAUGGUUUAUUUAUGAUUUCUAGGUAGAAUUUUACGAGGCUUCAGGUAGAUAUGUUAAUAAAAAUGGAAGCUAACUUGUCACUUUCCUGUGAAUCUAUAUUUAUUUUUAACGUUUAUAGCGUGCAAAAUUCUAAUCAACCUAUAUUAUGCCUGAAGGAGAUAUAGACGAGAUUUUUCAAGAAAUAGCCGAUGGACAAAUAUUCUGGGUGCUCUUAAUGUACAGAAUUAAAUAGGCAUAGAGAAAAAGGGAACCCGCAUGGCAGGGGACAAAAUGAACUGAUGAUUCUAGACUAGAUCAUUCAAGUGACGCUUCUUGGAGGAUAUGAGUCCUGCCAUUCUGUUUGAUUCUUUUCUGGUUUUCAAAAAAUCGCAAAAAAGUUAGUAAAGAGACAAUAAAUUUGAAGCAUGCAUGGGUUGUGCAUAUGUCGUGCAUGAAGGGCGGACCUACAUGAGAUCAUGUGAGGUCAAGUGAUCCCAUAAAAUUUUUUUAACUAUCCCUUUUUUUUUUUUUUUUUUUUUUUUUCCCCCCAAAUUUUUGUAGUUGCCCUAACUCUAUCUUUCCUUACAAGUUUUGCCUCACUACUCAUGAUUACUCUCUUUUACUUAACUUUAGAAUACAUAACUCAAAUUCAAUCUCCAAUUUCAAUCUCUAUUCUUCAAUCCAAAUAAGCCCUUCUUCUCCAAUAAUCAAUCUCUAUUCUUUAAUCUUGUAUGGAAUUUCACAAUUUUAAUUUGUAGGUUUGAUGUACAGGUUUUAUGUUUGAUUUUCUCUCAUUUUAUUUUCUAUAUUAUUAUUCAUGAUUGAGGGUCUAGGAUUUUGAUGUUGCAAUUGAUUUUGGAGGAAUGUUUGAAAUAAUAGGUUUUAAUGUUUAUGUUUGAUUUUUUUCUCCUUUUUCCUUUAAACCUUUUCACCCAAAUCGGUGCUCCAAUGUACUAUAUGUUUAAAAGUGCAAAGGAUUACGAUUCAGUUAUGAUUGAUGGGCACUUUAUUUCUGUUGGACUCUUGAAAGAAAAAAUAUUUGAAUCAAAAGAUUUGGGCAAAGUUACGGAUUUUUGAGCUCUUUGUCACUAAUGUCCAAACUAAUGAAAGUUGGUUUGAUUCUAUAAGAAUUUUUUUAGACUUUUAAUCCUUAAAACAAAAUUCUGGGGGUGUUAAUUGUUACGUUUCCAUCAAGUAUCAUUACUGGCCUCGCUUUUAUUGUAUUUUAAAUUAUAAUAGUAAAACUAUGAACCAUUUAGGUUAUGAUCAUUGAACUUCCUUCUAUAUAUGUAGUUUGAAUACAAACGGUUUCUCUAACACCUCUUCUAUGCUAUUAUUGAAAGCCAACUAAUUGGUGAUUAUAUAUUGUGAAUAAAGCUAGUCAUUUAACUUAUGGUUCUUAGGUUUGUGCCCUCUAGUGUGGCUAGUCUCAAGGUAUAGAGUAUAGGCUUUGUUGAUGUGUAUGGUUUUGUCAUUAGUUCUCCUACGUGAUUUUAUAUUCUUAGACUAUAUUACAUAGUCAAAAAGAAAUGAAGAUUAUUAAAAAUCGAUUAUGUGAUCGGAUGAGAGAUCAAUGGUUAAGUGAUAGUUUGGUAGCAUAUAUUGAGAACGAUAUAUUUGACAAUAUUUAUAUUGAUAUAAUUAUACCACUUUCUAAAGUAUGAAAAUUCACUGGCUACAAUUUUAGUAGCGUAUUGACUUAAUUUCAUUAACGCUAUAAUGUUUAAAAAAUAAAGCAUUUUAAUUUUUGAUCCCACAAUAGAAAAUGUCUAGAUGUGCCAUUGCGUGCAUGUGUUGUGCAUUCCUAAGUCAAGAUGAAAAAGUUAUUGGGAGAAUACGUGCAUUAAAAUCAAUGUUUUGCAAAAUUUUCGAACAAGACAAUUUUUGGAGUGUAACAUGACUACUUGAAAAGUGUCUUAUCUUUUGUGUCUUCGGAUGCACAAAUGAACACGGAUUUAUUAUUUACCCAAUGCAUGGGAUCUACGUUCUUUUAAAUUAACUUUCGUUUAGUUGGGCAUUCAAAAAUACCAAAUAAAAUAUGUUUUAGUGAUGUACAUUAUUAUUUAAAAAGAAUUUUGUUAAUUUUCAUCAUUGACCCUGCAAUAAGACACCAAAGUAUGGGACCCACGUAACUUUUGUUUAGACAGGUAAUCAAAUUUCAAAUGAGAUGCGUUUCUAUGGGUGUUACAUAAAUAUUUAAAAAAGAUUCGUCAGUUUCCAUCAUUGAUAGUAAACAUACAAUGAACACACAUUGUUAUCCACUAAAUCCGUGGGAUCCACAUUUUUAUCCAUUGACUUUUGUUCAUACGGUGUACAAAUAUUCUGAAUUUAAACAUUUUUACAAUUGUUACAUGACUAUUUAAAAGGGUUCGGCCGAGGUUUCACUAGAGGCAAUACAACUACUAUAAGGGCCAAUUGAUCUUGCCUUCUACCCACCAUAAAUCCAACACCACUUGAUUAAAAUAACAACUAUGCCCUUCAUAUUAAUACUCGUCAUAUCCCGCAAAGUUCUUUUUAUUUAGUCCAUCAAACAGCUUUUAGGGCUCUCUCUAUCUCUCUAUGCUAAAAUAUUUCAAUUUGUAAAACCAAGUAAAUACAAUUGAAGUCCUAGAGAGUUUGUGGACAGUUUUAUAUACAUAGUUGUCGUCAUCAAAUGUGAUGUUGGCUUUCAAGUCUAUGAGCAUGGAGGAAAUUCUCAAAAAUAUUUACUUAGAUUCGGAGUGUUUUGCUUUGGAUAUAAUGGAGUUGCUGAUUUUAGUGUUGGUGCUAGAGGAGAAUUGAAAAUGAGGAGUAAUUGGAGGACUACAAGAAAAAUCAAAAACUAAAUCAAUCUACCUAAAUAUGGAGAUAACAUGCUUCAAUUUCGCAACUUUGGGAAGAGGGAAGUAUUUAUUAGAGAUUUUCUUGACUAGAUCAUUUUAGUGAUGCUAUUUGGAGGAUGAAUCCAGCCACUCUCUUUGAUUUGGGUCUGAUUUUCUCUGAAUUGCUAAAAGAUUAGAAAAGAGACAAAAUGAGAUGCCCAUCCAUGGGUCAUUACAUCGUGCAUGUUUUGUGCAUUCGUUGUUCAAGAAAAAAAUUUAUUGAGAGUGUAUAUAUAUAUAUAUAUAUAUCUCAUUUUGCAUUAUUAAAAAUUAAGGAUGGACAAAACUCCCGAUCUGAACCAAUUAGCUUGGUUCGAUUUUUCUUAGGUUAAAUGCCUGAAUGGGUACUAGAACUGAAAACUGACGAAUUUGAUUUGGUUCACAAUCUUUGACCAAGAAUUGAAUAACCAAAUAAGAACCGAAUGUUUCUAAUUUUUUUAUAUUGAAUAAGCUUAAUUGUUUUAAUUAUUUUCUAAAUAAAUUUGUCUAUUAACUAAUCAAGUGAUUAAUUGUAGGAAAAUUUUCAUAAGAGAUUAAGUGUGACAUAUUUCAAAAUUAAGAAAACAAGUUUUAAAUUUCAAAAAUCAAAAUUUUAUUAAAAUUUAUUUAUGAUUAAAUUAAUUAAUUAAUUUAUUAGUUAAGUAUAUUUAAGUCACAGAUCUGUACAAUUUAGUCAUGACUUAACAAUUUAAUUAGUCACUUAUUAUUUUUUGGUCACAAAAAAUUUUGUCAAAAAUUAUUUUAUGAUCAAAAUUCAAAAAAAAUUUUUGUCACAAUUUGUUCAUUGGACACAAAUCAAAAAAUUAAUUAACCACAAAUUAAUUUUUAGUCACACUUAUCAAUUUAUUGGUCUCAAUUUAUUUUUUUAGUCACAAAUCAAAAAUUUUAUAGGUCACAAAUUAUUUUUCCAUCACGAAUCAAAAAUUUUACAGGUCACAAAUUAUUAAUCGAUCACAGACUCAAAACUUUUAUUGGACACAACUCAAUUAUUCACUGAAAAUUAUUUAAUUAAUUGGCCACGAUUAAUUUUUCGAUCACAACUUAAUGAAUUGUGAAUCAUGGUCACAAUUUUUAAACAAUUUAUUGGUCACAAACAGAGUAAAGCACCAUCUUACCACCACCACCACCACUAUCUCACCCAUCCUAACCUACUUCGCCACCGCCGCUACCAUACCACAUUGCCACCAACAACCACCACACAACACAAAAAUGCAUAAACCGAGAUGACACCACCUCGCCAUCGCAAAAAAUCGCCACUAUCUCAUCGGACCACCAAAACACAAACGACCGCCACAAAUCCAAAAACCAAAAAAACACCACCACCACUACCCACACUACCGCACCACCAUCACCAUUUGCAAAAUCAUAUCCAUCCCUACCCAACAAAUUAAAAACUUACACCUGCUUACUCAAAUCUCCCCUAACCACCACCACGUACCUCUAACAAAAUCGCUACUGAUCUCCCCAGUCCACCAAUAUUCCUUACCCCGCCAGCAGCCACUCCUUCACAGAUCUAUCCACCUUCAUCCUCAUCAACAAUCCCAUAGCCCAAAACCAAUUGCGCAACGGCACCCAUCAUUGCUCCUCAUUGUAUCUACUUCGUGCAACGCUACUUGAUGUAUCUACUCCUCGUCAUUGUUAAAUUCUAUUGUUGAUUCGGGCAACACUCCUGCCCAUGCUGUCGACGGUGGUCGCCCUCUGAUGUCUCUAUUUAGAUCCGUUCGCAGAGGCAUAGUUACUACUAGAGAUGACACUUAAUCCACUAUGAUGACUUCAUCGUUACAGUGUAGUUAGAGUGAGUGGUCAGUCGUCGAAGAAAAAAUAAAAAUGGGGAAAAUAGAGAGAGAAACGAGAGAGAGAAUGAUUGAUUUGAGGAUAAAUUGAUUUAAUUAGUGAUGUAUUACUACAAUAUUAAAUCUUAGAGAAAAAAUGUAGAGAGAGAAAAAGUAAGUGAAAAAAUUAGGGUUUUCUAAUUUUUGAAUAGUAAAAAUUUCCACUUGAUUUUAGAAUGUGGAAUUUUUAGAGUAUGUUAUUGUAUAAUUUCCACUUAAUUGUAAGCGUGCAAGGAUCCAACUUUCAAAGGCCAACCCAACUUGAGCCAAAAAUACAUUUUUUCUACAAAUUUCAAUCCAAGACACUUCACUUCACAAAUCACUUAGCACUCACUUGUUUUAUCAUUUAGGUUUAGUUAUUGCCUUAGUUUUCAGCUGCUCCUCUCUCACAAGCCAAGAAUUUAUUUUUGAUCCUCAAGAUCCACGUGGACCAUGCCAUCAAAUCCUAUAUUUUCCUAUAUAAAAUCUUAUUAGUUGGAAAAUUUAUAGUUUAUUUAUUUUUGUCAAUUGAGCUUUUUCAAUUAUUUCUUGUAGAGUUUUUUAGCGUGACAAGUCCACUGAUUGAUGAUUAAGUUGAAUGGUUGACAAGUACUUGCAAUACUUAGAAAUGUUUUAUUUCUAUAACUUUUAAUUUAUAUUUUAUUUUUUUUAUGUAGAUUUAAAUGCUUGAAGCAAAGAAAUAAAUGUGAAAGAAUUAUCGAUGUUUUAACACUAUUAUUUGCUUUUUGGUAAUUUGUAUACAUUGGUGAAUGAAUCUUAUUAGACAACUUAUCAUUUGUAUAUAUUUAAAUUUCACUUAUUUCGUAGGAGUUAAGAAUGAACAUAUCAUCGACAUGAUUAGAUCAAUGUAGUGUUAUUAUAAAUAUUAAAAAGUUUAAUUAUAGCAUUGAACCGAAUGAAAUUGAAUCAGUUAGGUUCCAUAAUCAAAUUUAAACCGGACGGUUCCACUUACUAAAUAUCUAAAAAUUCUGGUUCAAAAAGAACUUAACCAUAUCAUGUCAAGGCCUAUAAAGAAUGUUCCAAUGUACUCUUGAUACUUUGUCACAUUUCUUUCCUUUCCCAUAUGAGAAAAACACAUUCAAUGUUCGGGCGAUUAAAAAAAUAGAUUCCUUUCCAAUUUAACUUUGAAUUUUCUACUUCUUUGGUAAUCUCUAUUUCCAACAAAUCUCAUAUCAUCAUUAUACAUGAUUACAUGAUGCAUUAUUCAUGUGCUUCUGUGCUGUGCUUCACCGUCUAUGUACAAUGACAAGCACUACUUACAAAUACAUAUCAGACAAUCAAGGGAAGGGUGACUAAAAAAUCAUUGUUAGAUUUGGUUUUUUGCUUUAGUUAAUGCCAUUCGAGUAGCUUCUUUUGUAAAGUUAUGGAUACAUCUGUUUAUUCCUUCAUGUAUUAUGUGGCUCGGAUUGUUAGUUUGAUGCCCAUUCUUCGAGUAAUGUUCUGUAAAAUCACAUUAUGAAUUUACAUUAGUUUAUUUGCAUGUUAUAAUUUGAAGAGAUUGUCUAAGGUUCCAUGAUCAUAGAGGAUGUCACAAAUUGUAUACUCAAUGGAUCGGGUAUAGUAAGACACAAUUUGUGAUGUGAUCAAAAUUAUGUUGUUCACAAUCGAUUCAUAAAGUUGGACACUUUAUGUUGAUAAGAUUGUAUUGUUCUUAUUAAGAUUUAUCUAGAUCUUGAAAUAGGAACAAUAAUGUGUUUCGAUGAACAUUGAACGGGACCGCGUAGAUGACUCAUUUGUGACCGUUUGAAAUGAGACUCUACUUGAUUAUCAAGCAGGUAACCUAAAUCCUGAGUGAGUAAUAUACCUUUGAUUGCUAGUUCAAGUUCUCUGAGGUACAAAUGAGUGAAGUCUUAAAUAGAAGAUUGAUCUCGGUGCUUUGGGAAUCGGGCUGAAACAAUUAAAGAUCAUAUACUUACAAUAUUGGAAUCCAUUAAUCAUUGUGAUGAGACGAUCGUCACUUUAAGGUAUUUUCCUAGGCAAAUUGGAUCUGAGCUUAGUAGGUUGACGAUGAGAUCGUUGGACUUUACAUUGUGAUUUGAUCACAACGAAUUUGUCGUAUGAAAAUGGGACUUAGAGGGUUAUGCAUGUUGAUGGGGAAAAUGGUAACUUUGCCAGUUUCAACAUAUUAACGGUCAAAUGGGAGUUGACUUGUGGAACGAUAAUAGAGGAUAUUGUUAUUGGAUCAUAAUUUGCUUCUAUAACUAUCAUUCGACCCGAGAGUGCAAUCUCGAUUUUUUGGUAGACUAAGCCGGGAUUAAUAGAUGUAUCUCAAUUGGCCAAGAGUUGACCCAAUUGAAAACAUAUAUUGGAGCUUAGGUCAUGUCAGUCCAAUUAAGUCCCUCUUUUCGCUCCAAUAAAAGGUGUGUGACUUAAUUGACCUACUACAAUAAAGUCUAAAGAAAUUUGUGCAAUUUCCAAACCCUAAUAGGUCAUUAUAAAUAUGCACAUUAUUGGCAUAUUUUGGUGUGAUUUUAGGGUUAACCACUUUUCACAUUCCCCAAAAAGGAAUAACACCUAGUAGAGAACAAGGGAGAAGAUCUAAAGGAGGAAGCAAUUGGCUAGGCCAUUAAUAGCUCCUUCAAAAAGGUUAUCAUCUCCCCUUUCUAUAUAUGAGAGGAUUUUAUAAUCCAAUGAUUUCAAGGUCAAUUAAAUCCUUAUUUACAUGAUUUUAAUUUUCAAAGGAAAAUUAAUUUCCUAUUGUGAUGAUUAAAAUUCAUUAACCAACAAAUGAUAUCAGAGCCAAGGUUAUUGUAUUCCUUGAGUAGGAUUUUUUUUUUUUUUUUAAAUCCUAGUGUAAUAUGCAUUUUAGUUGGGUGGUGUUAGGUUAUUUGAUUUUGACAUGUUUAUGCUUUAAAUAUGUUUAAAGUUAUUGUUGAUAUACUCAUAAUCACUUUUGGCCCUAGAAUUUUUUUACUUCCUAUUGUAAUUCAUUUAUUAUUGUCAUUCUCUAGAAAUAUUAUAAGCCAUAAGGCAUGAAAUUUUUUUUUUCCUUCAUUUUCGUUUUUGUAUUUUGAGGAAGAAAUGUAAACUUGUUGCUAUAAUUUCAAUGGAGAAGAAAGAAGAACAAAGAACAAGAAAUGAAACCAAAAACACCAAAAAUCGGAACAGCAGCUAGUUGUGGCUGCUGUUGCAACAACAGUUGCCUCACAUUCUAACAUUCCAGUGAUUCUAUUUAGAGGAUGAGUCAAGCCAUUCUCUUUAAUUUAGGAGUGAUUUUCUUUAAAUUUCAAAAAUGUUAGAAAAGAGACAAAAUGAGAAACCCAUCCUUGGUUCAUUACAUUGUGCAUGUAUUGUGCAUUCAUUGUUCAAGAGCAACAAAGGUAUUGAGAGUAUAUUAAAGUAUUAAAGUUGUUUGAAGAAAGAACUCUUGUUUUUCCUCUCAUAGCUUGAUCCCACUUGAUCACAUUGCACAUUAUUAAAAACUGACUGGACAAACCGAGCAAUCCAAUUUGAUUCCUUUUAGGUUAAAUAUCUGAAUCGGUACUAGAAUUAAGAAUCGGAGGGUUUGAUUAUGUUCUUGGUUCUAGAUCAAGAAUCGACUAUGAAUCGCACUCCCUAAUUUUUUAUAUUGAAUAAGCUUAAUUACAUUAUUUUUUUCUAUAUAAAUUUAUCAAUUAACUAAUUAAGUGAUUAAUCGUGAGUGCGUAAGGCUCCAACUCUCAAAGGCCAAACCAACUUGAGCCCUGAUCUUUUUUCCUACAAAUUUCAGUCUAAGCCCAAAUUUAGUUUGCAAUUCAUCCAACACUCACUCAUUCUAUCAUUUAAGUAUAGAUAUUGCCCUUGUUUUCAGCCGCUUCCCUCUCACAAGCCACGACUUCACCUUCACUCCUCAAGAUCCACACGGACCACAAAUCAAAUCUUAUAUUUUCUCAUAUUAAAUCUUAUUGGUUCAACAAUUUUUAGUUUAUUUAAGUUUAUUAGUCGUGCUUUUUCAAUUACUUAUUGUGGGUUUUUACUGGGAUAAGUAAAUCAAUGGACGAUUAAUUUAAAUUGUUGAUAAGUACUAGCUAUACUUAAAAAUAUUUUAUAUUUGAAGGAUUGAAGCAAAGAAGUCAAUGUAAUGGAAUUAUCAAUAUUUUAGCAUUAUUAUUUACUUUUUGGUAAGUUGUAUAUAUUAGACAAUUUGUAUUUUGUAUAUUUUGUCCAGACAAUUGUACAAAAUGUCCAAUGAGAUGUUAAUUUAUGAGUACGUCUUGUUAAAAAAUGAUUUGUGAUUUUUCGUUAACGAUAUUGUAAUGUUAUGAUCAUGCAUUUAUUGUCCACUAAAAGGCAGGACCUACAUUUUAUAAAUCGAGUUUUGAUCAUAUGGUAGUAAAAAAUUUUGAAUUUAGACAGUUUUUGUCAUGUGGAAAAUAAUUGGGGAGAAAAGAAUCAUCAAAACUAGAAAUAGAAGAGAAGGAAGAAGGCAAUGGAUUUGACUGGUUUUGAAUUCAAAAGUGGUGUCGUGGCAACUUAUCAAAACGACGUCAUUUUAUUUUGAUUAAUUGUAAUAAGCUAGAAACAUUUUUUUACAUUUUAUCAGUUGAGAAUCACGCUUCUUCACUAUAGAGGUAAGCAGAUAAAUACGGUGUAAAGGGUUUGGAAAGAGUGUGUGUAAUAUCUUCUGUCAAAUUUCAGUGGAAUUGUUGAUUGAAUCAACAGCUUUUCUCAUCUCCGUUCUUCUUGUUUUGCUGUUUUCCCCUUUUCCCAUUCUGUUUUCUCUUAAUUUGGUUACAAAUUUAGCUUGUGAGAAUUCCAUUAUUGAUCUAUCCAAGUCGUGGUUGUGAGGUAAGAUUCAGCUCGUGACAAUUGGUAUCAGAGCAGGCGUAUUAAACUAGGUAAGUGGUAAUCAUGGACACAAGGGCUAACGUGGUGGAUGACCAUUUGGAGAAACUGGAUUUGAAGAUUGCUAAUUUGGGUACCUCGUUCGAAGCAAUGUCUAGCAGACUAGAGAACAAAUUGGCUUCCACGAAUCAAACACUUCAGGUAGUGGUUAAUAGACAAGAGAAUAUUGAAGGUAUUGUGUUGGAUAUGAACCAGAAGUAUGAGAAAUUAGUGGCCAUGAUGACCCAAAUGUCUUUUGAUCUUAAAAUUGAGUAGGAAAACAAAGUAAUAGAAGGAUCUAUGGUUAACUUAAGGUCUGAGAGUGGGACAUAUAGGCCAAGAACUAAUAGCAAUGAGAAUAGUGUUAAUACCACGUGUGUGCUUAAGGGAAAUAAUAGGCUACCUAAGAUGGAUUUUCCACUUUGUGGGAAAAAAGGACCUAGGGAAUGGCUAAGGAAAGCCAUGAAAUAUUUCCAGAUUCACGAGACUCUUGAUGAACUUAGGUAGGGAAUUGCUGAGAUGCAUUUGGAAGGGAAGGCUUAUAUACGGUUUUAUGGAUUCAUUGCAAACCAUCCUGGGGCAGAAUAGAGUUUCUUCUCUGAGGAACUUUGCAGAAGGUUUUCAGAAACUAUUGAGGAAGAAGUGGCUAAGAUAUUUAGUAAAAUUAAACAAUUGGGACAUAAUGAAGAUGAGUCUAAAGGAGAAUCAGGAGGUGAAAAGAUCAUAGAGAUAGCCAUUAAUGCAUUGGCUGGGAGGUGGCAACACAAGACCAUUAGAGUUCCUGGAGUGAUCAAAGGGAGGAAAGUCUCCAUACUUAUUGAUCGUAGGAGUACACACAGUUUUGUUGAUGAGAAAUUAGCCAAAGAGCUGAGAUAUAUUAUUAAGGAAAAUAGCGAAGUGAUAGUUAAAGUGGCUAAUGGGGAUAAACUAGAAAGUGAUGCCUUAAGCUAACCAGUGGUGUAGAAGAUAUGGUCCUGGGAAUUUCAAUUCGAAUUUAGAACUUUAAGUUGGCUGGAAAUGAUGUGGUGUUAGGAGUAAAUUGGAUGAGUCAAUUUGGACCAAUUACCUUUGAUUCUACACAAGGGUGUGUUCAAUUCAGAAGCAAGGAUGGAGUAAUAGAGCUGAAGAGUGAAGCUUCUAAAGAUUCUAUCAAAAUACUAAGGGUAGAAGAGAUGGAGAAAAUGUUUUGUAAAGAGCCUUAUGGGAUAGUGGGGGCAAUUGUACCAUAUCAAGGAGGGACAAACUAUGGAUACAUAUGGUUAGAUUUUGGAGGUCAUACACAAAGUUCCUAGGGUAUUUGAUGAGCAAACAGAGUACCUCCUCCCAAAUCACGUGAUCAUCACAUCUCCUUGAAGGAGGGAGCAUAAACAUUUAGAAUGAGACCUUAAAAAUGCUCUUUUAGUCAGAAAACAGAAAUAAAGAGGCUAGUGGUGGAGAUGCAGAGAUACAAAUUAAACCAACAGUUAAAGGAGAACCUGUCUUAGGCCAUGGGUAGAAUAAAACUUUAUGCAGACAAAAACAGGGGAGCGGGGUCUUUUGAAGUGGAUGAUUGGGUUUUCCUCAAGCUACACCUUUAUACUCAGUAUUCAGUGGAACCCGGGUAUAACCAUAAACUCAAUGCUAGAUAUUUCAGUCCUUAUCAAAUCCGUAAGAAGAUAGGAGUUGUGGCAUAUCAAUUAGCACUACUGGAAGGUUCAAAAUUUCAAUCAGUUUUCCAUGUAUCACUAUUGAAGAAAAAGCUUGAUGAAAGCACAGUGCCUGUUCAACAACUACCUGAAGGAAAAGCAGUCACUACAGUUAGCGCAUUAUCCCUAGCAGUCUUGCAAUCCAGUUUGGUGAAGCUCAAGAACCAUAUGGCAGUACAAUGGCUUAUCAAUUGUUCUAAUUUUCCCUAGAGAGUGCAACCUGGAAGGACGUUGAAUGGAUUCAGUCCUAGUUUCGAACCUGUAGAUCUUGGUGACAAGAUCAAGAUGAGAGGGAGGAUUGUCAUGUGGAAAAUAAUUGGGAGAAAAAGAAUCAGCAAAACCAGAAAUAGAAGAGGAAGAAGAAGGCAACGGAUUUGAUUGGUUUUGAAUUCAAAAAUGGUGUCAUGCAACUUAUCAAAACAGUGUCAUUUAACUUUAAUUAAUUGUAAUAAGCUAGAAACAUUUUUUACAUUUUAUUAGUUUCAAAUCACGCUUCUUCACUGGUGUAAAGGGUUUGGAAAGAGUGUGUGUAAUAUCUUCUGUCAAAUUUCAAUGGAAUUGUUGAUUGACUUAAUAGCUUUUCUCAUCUUCCUUCUUCUUGUUUUGCUAUUUUCACCUUCCCUCAUUCUGUUUUCUCUUAAUUGGUUACAAAUUCAGCUUGUGAGAAUUCCAUUAUUGAUCUGUGCAAGUCGUGGUUGCGAGGUAAGGUUCAGCUCAUGACAGUUUUACGAUUGUUACAUGACUAUUUAAAAAGAAUUUUGCAGGGUUUUCAUCAAUGUGCAACUAUAAAGGCCAAUUUUACCUCGCCCUCCAACACCAUUUGAUUAAAAUGAUAACUAUACCCUUCAUACUAAUAUUCUUCAUAGCCCACCAAGCUCCUUUCAUUUACUUCAUCAAACAGCUUUUAAUGCGCUCUCUCUGCCCUUUUUCACUUUCUUUCUCUAUUAUCAUCUUUAUACCUACAAAUUUCUAGCAUAAAUUCUAAUUGUUUUUCCAAGGCUCAUGCACUCUCAGUCUUACUGUCUGAACAAAGAUAUUUCAGUUUGUAAAAUCAAGAAAUACGUUUAAACUCCUAGAAAAUCAAUAGGCAUUUGUAUAUAAAUAGUUGGCAUCUUCAAAGGUGAAGAUGACAUCUACGUCAUGACCCAAUCGAGAUUUGUUGGAUACUCUAUUACAUUCUUUACCAAUCUCUACUAUGAUGAAUGUCGUGCUUUCAAGAAUCGAGAUUUACUGGACACUCUAUUACAUUAUUUACCAACCUCCACUAUGAUGAAUUUCGUGCUUUCAAGUCCAUGAGCAUGGAGCAAAUUCUUAAGAAUAUUUAAUCUGAUUUGGAGUGUUGUGGUUUGGUGAAUAAUGGGGUUGUUGGUGCUGGAGUAGACUUCAAGAUCAGGAGUGCUUGUGGACUUCAUAAAUAAUCAAAAACAAAAUCAAUCAGCCUAAAUAUGAAGAUGUUUUGCUUCAUUUUUGCAACUUUAUCAAGAGCAAGAUUUUAUUAGUGACUUUCUAGACAAUAUUAUUUCAGUGACAUUGUUUCGAGGAUGAUUAAAGCCAUUCUCUUUGAUUCUGGUCUAAUUUUCAUAAAAUUGCCAAAAAAUGUUAGAAAUGAGAUGAAAAAAUUGGAGCAUGCAUGGGCAACACAUACGUCGUGAAUGUGUUGUGUGUUCUCGUUGUUCAAGCGGAAAAAGUUAUUGAGAGAGCACAUGUAUUAAACAAUCAACGUUCUACAAAAAUUUUGAAUGUAACACAAUUUUUUGGACGCUAUUAGGGUUUUGUUGUUUGUGCCUUCAAUUGCACAACUAUGAUGAACACAUAUUUAUUGUUCACCCAAUGCAUGGGACCCACAUUCUUAUAAAAAUUGACUUCUGUUAAGCCCAGUAUUCAAAAAUAUCAAAUAUAAUUUGAAGAGUGCAAAUUACUAUUUAAAAACAAUUUCGUUUGGUUUCCAUCAUUGAGUGCAAUUAUAAUGACCAUGCAUGUAUUGUACACAGAACACCCAAUGCAUGGGAUCCACAUACCUUUUGUUUAGACUAGUAAUCAAAUUUCAAGCGAGAUGACUUUCUCUAAGUGUCAAUCGACUAUUCAAAAGCGAGUGAUCAAUUUCCAUCGUUGAUAGUACAACUAUAAUGAACACACAUUUUUAUCCACUAAACGUGUAAGAUCCAUACAUUAUUCAUUGACUUUGAACAUUUCGAAUUUAGAAUUUUUUACAAGAGGUACCUGACUGUUUAAAAAGUAUUUGGUAGGGUUUUAAUCAGUGACAUUGCAACUUUAAUGACCAACUUGCAUCACAUAGUACCCGCCACACCUCUAACACCACUAGUUUAAAUUGAUAAAUAUGCCUUUGAUUAGUACUCUUCGUAUCCCACCAAGUUCCUUUUAUCUACACAAUAAAACAGCCUUUAGUGCCCUCCCUAUCCCCCUUUUCACUUUUUCUCUCUGUAUCUGUUAUUUUAUAACUACAUAUUUCUAUCGUAAAGUCAAAUUAUUUUUACAAUGCUGAUAGACUCUCAAUCUAAGUGCCUGAACUAAAAUGUGUCUAUUUUUAAAAUGAAGAAAAUAUUGUUAAAAUCUUAGAAAAUUGGACACAGUUGUAUAUGUAUAGGUCUCAUCAUCAAAGGUGAUUAUAGCUUCUACAUCACCGCCCAAUUGUGAACUUGCAAGUUUCCUAUCAAGUUCUUUUACCAAUCUCCACUCUCAUGACAGUCAAGCUUUCGUGUUUGCAAGCAUGGAGCAAACUCUCAAGAAUAUUUACUCUAAUUCAGAGUGCUCAAUUUUGGAUAUUAAUGGCGUUGUUGGUUUUCAUGUCGGUGUUGGAGGAGAAUUAAGAUAAGCAAUUGGGUGGAUGAUAAAUGUAUUGUUUACGCUUAUCUAGGCCGUAAAAAUGUGAUCUUUGUGAGUCAUUUUAGAUGAAUUAUAGCUUAGUUCAAUGUAAAUUGUGUGUUGUUAGGUACAAAUCGACAUAUAUGAUGAAAUUGUAUAAAAAUGGUAAAAAGGAGCUCAAUUGUAAGAGUUCCAAAGUUUUAAGACUAAAGUACAAAUAAUCAAAAAUUGUGUCAAACCCCACGAUGAAGAUUCGAGAGCGCUAGGAUCAAUUAGAUGAGAAAAGAAGUCAAGUGGAUGAAAUAUAAUUAAAGUAUUUUCACACCAAUUUUCAGUUGAAAAAGUUAUGGUCCGAAUUUUUAGCCUCAUAUUGAUACCCAUUUUUGGCAUAGUAAAUGUUCAAAUUUGAAAAUUUUAUUUCUAUGAGAGUUAUCGUUAUUUGAGUUAUCUUUUCCAACAUACUUUGAAUCUCCUUGAUUGGAUAUCGGGAGAGAAUAUUACAACAAAACUACUGAUGGUUGUCCAGAACAUGAACUAAGGCAGACAAGGUGCGUGCUUGAGCCUCUUCUGAGGCCACUUGAGGCUUGCAAACCACUUGAGGCGAGGAAAUUCCUGUUUUCCUCAUUUUCUUUUAGUAAUUGUAGAAUGCAAUCUUUUCGCAUUUUAUAUAUUGGGAGGCACAUCCAAAAGGGUUUAAGUGGAGGUUUUAUCAUUAUUUGAGGUAGAGAAGAUGGAAUUUACAUCAAGGAGUGAAAUUUCAUAGCUUGGGUCGAAGAUUAAAGUGAAGAUAUUGGAGUUUUCAAACUCUUUGUUAGUACUAAGACCUAGUUAAUUAACCGUUUUCGCACAAUUACUCGUUUCAUUCAUAAUACACCAGCCAGUCAAAACUUCCUACGGGCAUAUUUACGUACAGUUCUGAAUGGGACAACUUAACAAAUUUGUGUUCUUCAAGAUAUAAUCUAUUGUAGAAUUAAAUGAAAAUGAACACCAAAUAUAACGUGGUAAACCCAUAAGGGAAACAUCAACUGGCCUCAUGCCUUGGGUAAAAUAAUACACUCUCAAAGAAUAAAAAUACAAUAGUUUUGGUUCAGUUAUUUCGGAAAAUUAAUUAAAACAAUCAAAAGUAAAUAAAGCACAGCUCACUCAUUUUCUUAUUACUUUUGAGUUGUUGGAGUGGUGGAAUCGAACCCUUCGAUCUUGACUUUAUCACCACUUCACUAUUGUAUUUGGCCGCAACCAGCACUUGGAUUAAUAUUCACCAAUCUUUAACUCACACCAACUAGCUUGAUCUUUGAGUAUGAUUAUAUCAUUCACGUACAAGUGUAUUCUCUUCAAUUACAGUUGAAGAACAUGGUUUCUGCUUAGAGAUACUUCAAUGGAACAUUAGCUGGUCAAAACUCACUAAAGAUGGUUAGAAGACUUCAAAACUUGCUAUUUUAGGUUCGCUUGGCAUAGGCAUAUUUUUCUUAAAGCCUUCGUUGGUCCCUCAGUGAUCUUCUUUACUUAUGUAAUUGGUCCAUUAAUGAUCUUCUUUACUUAUGUAAGGACCCCUUUAAGGCACGAACGUGUCUUACCUAAAAUAUGAAAGUUUUGCACUGUAAGAAUAAUAUAAAAUAUGUUUGAUAUGGUCAAUAAUUAAAUUAUUAAUUCAUUAAAGCAGUCUUUCCUUCUUUUACUUAUUUGACCGGUCAAACCAUUUCAAUAGGGUAAAUAUAUAUUUAUGUAUCUGUAUAAAAUAUGUUUGAUAUAGUCAAUAAAUAUAAAUUAAUAAAAGUUUUGAUUUGUUAAAACGAUCUUUCCUUCUUCUUCUUCUUCUUCUUCUUCUUCUUCUUCUUCUUCUUCUUCUUUAUUUAUUUUUAUUUUUAUUUUUAACUAAUCAAACCUAUCCUAGAUGAUAAGUAUAUUUUCUUGUAUAUGCUACUAUAAGGGAGGUAAAUAUUGCACUUCCUUUAGGGUUUAAAAACCCUAAAAACCGCAAUCAAGAAUUUGUUAACUCGUAGUACUAGUCAGUCCUAACCAACUAGCUUACCUUGUUUGGACUGCAUUAGUUGAACAUUUUUUUUGGCACAUGUUUUGGCAUUUAAAAAUCAUUUUAAUUUAAGCAAGCAAAUAGACAAGUGAUAAGUAAAAGCAUAAAAUAUAUUUUACUUACACUCUUCAUCAUAUUCCUUGCUCGGGGUGAUGUUUUUUCUUAUUAUUAUUUUUUUUUUGUAAUUUUCAUAAGGCAAAGCUAGGUUAAACAAUUUUAUGUAUUGGAUGGAUGAUAAAACUGUUGAUUUAUAGUUUAUAAUUCAAGACUUAUUGAUUCUUUAGUUAAUUCUUGUGUUUGUGAUUGAAUAUGCAUUAAUUAUAUGUUGUUUGAAUGUUCGACCAUCAUUUCGACAACUAGUUUUUUAUUUGUAGUUUUGAGAGACUCACAAUAAGUAAAACACACGGACAAUAGAUAUUAAGAACAAUGUUUAUGACGUGGCAAUUUUAUGUGAUAUUCUUGUGAUUGAAUACAUGCUUUGUAUAUGAUUUGAAUUAAGAAUAGGAUCGGGUUGUGUUAAGCAUAGAUUUAAUAUAUUUGGAAGGUAAUAUUAUGUAUUAACAGAUUAUUGACUGUUAUGAACACAUUAAUAAUGCUAACUCACAAAAGUCAAGAAUUGAAACUAGACAUUAUUAGGUGGACUCUGAUAUCCAAUACAUUCAUCUCAUAUUUGAUUAAUCACCAAUCUCUUAGAACUUUCAUAGUUUAGUUAGAAUUAAAUAAAAAAUAUCAACUCUUUUGUGUUACCAAAUUUGGUAGAAACUGGUAAACUAUAAUUACAUUUAUUUCUCGUGGGAUGAUAACCCAACUCACUACAUUAUUAUUUGUUAAUGACCUCGAAUGCUUGCAUGUUUUGUAUGAAUAGUGGACAACGAGAAAAAUCAAUUAUCAAAAUAAUCUGUUUUGUUAACAUGCUUCAAUUUUGCAACUUUAGAAAGAGCAAAGUUUUCAUUAGAAACUUUCUAGAGUACAUCGUUCGAGUGCUGCUGUUUGGAUGAUGAGUCAAACAAUUCUCUUCGAUUCCGGUCUGAUUUUCAUAAAACUGCUAAAAAAAUUCAAAAAAAGAGACAAAAAGAGAACCCCCAUACCUGGGUCAUGCAUACGUCGUGCAUGUAUUGUGUGUUUGUUCUUCAAGAGGAAAAAAAUUAUUAAUAGUGUGUGUGUGUGUGAAAAUCAAAGUUGUUGAAAGAAACAACUCUUGUUUCCCUCCCAUUGUUUGAUCCAUGUAUCCCAUUUUGCAUUAUUAAAAAUUAUCCAAAUUACUUUUGAUAAUUUGUCACAUUUCUUUACAACAAGUACUACUUACAUAGAUAUACUAGCUAUCAAGGAAAGGGUGAUUAAAAAAUCAUUAUUAGAUUUGGUAAUUUGCUUUAGUUUUUGCAAUUCAAGUAGCUUUUGCAAUGUUACGUAUACUUCAGUUUGUUUCUUCCUAUAUUACGUGGCUCAUACAACUGCCUUCUUUAAUUUUUUGAUGUGGUGUAAUAUAUUCAAGUUACGAAUUCUAGGGUGAUUUUUCCAAGGCUUCAGGUAGAUAUAUUAAUAAAAAUGGAAGCUAACUUAUCACUUUCUGGUGAUAUGAUGCAAGUCAAUCCCCAACAAGCUCCGUAAUUAUACAUGGCAAGUUCUAGAUGCUUUCUCUUUUUAGGUUUGUAGCAUGCAAAAUUUUAAUUAGCCUACGCUGUUAUUUGAAGGAAACAUAGACGAGAUUUUUUGGAAACAGCCAAUGGACGAAUAUUCUAGGCACUCUUAGUGAGCAGAAUCAAGUAGAUGCAGAGAAAAGGGAACCCGUGUGGUAGGGAUAAAAUAAACAGAUGAAAUGUUUAUGCAUUUGAUAAUAGAGAAAACAAAAUUGUUUAUUAGCAUUAGAUGAAACGUACAGAUAUUUUCAUUUGAAUUUAAACAGCAGUCAAGUGGUUGUUGGGAUUGUUGCGAGUCAGGCUCAAGUUGCACAAGACCAUGGCUGUGUUAUUUGAGAUUGAAAUAGCGACGCCCAAGCUCUAGGGACUUGUGACAUUACUAAGUUAUUAAAUUUGCAAAAUUCUACCUAGAUUGUUCAUAAAAGUACAGAAAUUAACUUGGAUUAGAAGCAUUAUAGCUUCAGUGAAUCCGUUGCAAAACUAAAUAAGUUUUCUUUCGAAAAUUUUGGAUUUUCAGAUUGCGCAGCUUUCUGAAAAACAAAAAAUCCAUUUGACAACCAAAUGAUAUCCAAAAUUUACAAAAUUUAAACUGUACGCGUCUUCCACAUAGAAAAUUUACAGUUAAAAUCUCGUAAGCAAAUUCAAUCAAUAGAUAGGUCAAAAUUGUUUUCAAAAUCAGAUCUAUUUGUUCUUGGGUACAUUUUGGUAGCUGUCAGGAGAAUGUCCAUAACUUGAGUUUUACAUAAUUAAAAUUCAUGGUUCCAAUUGUCCAAGAGAUAGAUAAUCCAUAUGGAUACCUUUUCCUACUAGAAUCACCACAAAAUUCAAAGUAUUAAGGUCCAGGUGAAUUUUUUACAGAAACAGAAAAUAUUUUAAACACUAUUCUUACCGCUUAAUUGAACAAAAUAAACCACAAUGAAAUAUCCUAUUCACCUUGAACAAAUUUCCAUUACAUAGUUCAGUGUUUAAACAUCCGAAAACACUAAAUUAAAAUAUUUUAGAAGUUGAAAUAAUUAUUUGAACAUAACUUGACUUAAAUGAUGAUUUUUGGAGUUCACAUCGAGGCAUCACCACUCUCCUCCAUGUCGCCAUCGAUCACAUUUAUCUAAAAUUGUUGGGGGUUGAGUGUCUUACGAAAACACUCCAUAGACUUAUAUGCACGUUAAAUCCAAUUUUUAAUAGUUUAAGCAUAUAUCUAUGUCAUUUAAACUUUUGAUAAAUAAGGACAUCGAUAAUCAUGCAACAUACCAACAUAUGGUGCACUACUACGCCAGCAACUUCAAAUUUCUAGUGCAUGAUAAGUGCAUUUUACACACUUAUUCAAGAUUUAAAAAAUGACAUUCUAUACUUCUUUUGAUGAAAUAUAGCUUAAUUCGUGUUAUAUUGUGUCUAAUAGAUAAAACUGAUGAUUUGAUGAAGAAUUGGAGAAAAUAAGCGAAAAUUGGUGAAAUUAAAACUAUGAGGACUAAAAUGUAAUAAUUCAAAAGUUGUGAUUGGAUUGCGAGAUGGUGAUUCAAGAAUGCCAAGAGUCAAUUGGAGUUACAGAGAAGUCAACAAGAUAAGAAAUUAUCGAAAAGGAUCAAAAAUGUAUUGCGAAAACUUUCAGGACCAAUUUGCAAAACUGGCCAAAUUGGUUCCAAAAAUGUGUACCAUGCUUAAGCAUAGUAAAUUCCUACCUAACACUAAGUCAUGCGUAUUGUGCUCAAGCCCAAAUGAACUGUGCUUAAGCAGGUUCAAUUUCGGGAAAAAAAUUCUUUCCUUAUCUUGUCUUAGAAACUUUUUAUACACAAUUUUUUGACACUCUAUAAAUACCAAAAGCCAUCCUAAACGUGGAGAACAUCCCUUUGGCCUAAAAAUCACAUAUUCUACGUAUUCUGGAGGCAAAGAACAAGGAACAAUCAUCAACCUUCCUUCAUUAUUUCUCGAUCCGGGUGAUGUCUUUUCAUUAUUUAUUUUAUAGCUUAAUGGUUGGCAAGAUUUUUCAAGUGUAUUGGAUGAAUGUUUGAACCUUGCUUUCAUUUAUUUUAAUUCAAGACUUCAAUUUAGGAAUUUCAUGCUAUUACUUGAUUGAUUUUACAAACCCAUUGCACUACUUAUUGCUUGAUCACCAAUUAAGUAGUUAGAUGCUCUUUGUAGCAUAUAAAUACUCAUAAUGAGUUUAGAACACAGUAAAAUCAACAUGAUUAUUUAGAAUUAGGAAUAAUCUAUCUUACACAUGCAAUCUUAUUGACAAUCUAAACUAAAUGCAUGACUUUAAUAUGAAUUCGGACUAGCUAGGAAUAGGUUCGUAUUGUGUUAGUUAUAGGUUAGUAUAUCUUAGAAAAGAGCAUUUAACAUAUUAGCUUUAUCGAUCAUCAAAAAUACAUGAAUUGAAUAGAAUAAUUAUUGAGAAUUGAAAUUAAUGGUAAUAAGGGAUACGUGAAUCUAAUACAAGCAUUUACAUUAGAUUUAAUUACUUUUUAAUCACUCUCUUAGAGGAGAAUUAGAAUAAAUAACAAACUAAUCACAACACUUUUGAUGUCAUCACUUUGAAUUAAUAGUAGCUACUGAACUACACAUUAGACCUUAUUUCUCGUGGGAACGAUACUCUUAACUUAUAAAUUUUAUUACUUGUACAACAUGUAAGUAUUAUGCCCUAGGUCCAAUCAACUUUGGACAUAAAUACUUUUAUAUAUAAUUAAUGCAAUUAAAUGACAGAUCUAUUAUUUAAUUAAUAGACAAUUAAAUAAAUAAUAAAGUCCGUAGAUUCAAAUAUUUGUAAUUUAUUAAUCACAAGAAAUUGUGAUUGUGAGAUACAAAUUACAUCUGAUUGAAUCUUAAAUCAUCCGUGGUCGUGAGUAAUAACGAGAUACAGAUAUCGUUAUUAUAGAUAGACCAUCACGUGUGGCAUUUCUUACUUGUGAAGUGAGUAGCUAAUCUCACAAGUUAAAGUGUGGUGACACUUAAAUAAACAUGUGGAUGUUUUGUUAUAGAACAAAACAUUGGACACCCGUCGAGAGAUUCCACAUGGAUAACUAUUUGAGUGUCAGUGGUUAAUUUCUAACGUUCGAUAGUGGAAUUAGUCCUUUGACUUGAGGUCGUCAUGGUACCUUAUAUGAGGACAGUCAUACUUUGGCGAUAUUGGAUGUUGCUCUGAAAAGGGCUGCUAAUACGACAUCGUUCGGGGCGUCAAGAAUCGUAUGAAGGUUGUGAUUGAUCAAUAAAGGAUUCAUCACUCUUAGAUAGUAGGAGAUUAUGAUCUGCGUUUCAUUCAAUUAAGUCAAUGAUGAAAUCCUUGGUCAAGGUGUACUCAUAAGUCGAAAAAGAGUUUUCGACUUAUAUUGACUUAAUAGUGGAGUGAAAGAUAUGAUCGAUGAUCAAGAUUGACACAAUUCCAUAUCUCAUAAUUGAUCAGAUCAUAUUGACGAAGGGAUUAUAGUUUCACGGUAAACGAACGAAUUUGGUUUUGUCAUACCACGUGACAUUUCCCAUCACAUGUAUUGCCCUGACACAUUGCUAAAUGUCAAUCAGGGACGGCGAGUGUGAAUUGACGAUAAAUUAAAAGGGUGUUUUAAUUUAUCAAUUUUGAUUAGAUCAAAAUAAUAUUUCACGUCGUUAGGUAUCGGGAACCUAGUGGGUCGCACAUAAAAGAGAAUUGGAAGAUUGCAAAUUUUCAAUUGGUUAAUUUAACAAUCGUUGGAUAAAUUAAUUAAUUGGAUUUGUUAUUUAUAUUCCCAAAUUAAUUAAUUAGAUUAAUUAAUUCACGGACCGGAUUUAGUUAAUUGGAUUAAUUAAAUAUUAGACAGGACUUCGCCGAGCCCGUUUGAGUUUAUAUAAAUACAUAAUUAGGGUUUGAGGUCCAUAUGAUUUUCAUUAUUCUUGCUGGCAUAAGAGAGAAAACCCUAGAAACUGCAAUCUUAUUCUCUGUGUGGAUCACCGUUGGAGGCUGGACAAUUGGACAGCUGUGGUGGCGAAUCAAGAUUGCUGGAACGAGAAGAAAAGCAAAAAGUUAGCAGAAUUCUUCAAAGGUACAAUCUUUAUCACGAUUUCUAUCUAAACACAAAGGGAUCCUCGAUGGGAAUCGAAAAUUAUUUUAAAUUUCGCUGUGCAUAUAUAAGUAGAUUCCCAACAGUGGUAUCAAAGCCUACUUUGUGUUUGUUAGAGAUUGUUUAUUGUCUUGUUUAUGUAAAUAAUCAAAAAGUUGAUUGUUGGUUUCUUGUUUCUAGCAAUUAGAAAUUUAUAUCAACAAAAUGGUUUUGAAUAUAAAAUAAACUUUCGAUUGGAAUCUGAAAAAAAAGUGUUUUUUUCUCGUGCAAGGCGGUCUGCCGGCGGCAAGUGUUGCCGCCGACGGGGGGAGGCAGCACGGCAGCCAGUGCUGCCGCGCUGAGAUAGCGGUGCUCGCUGCCAUGGGCAGCUGCGAGCGUCGCUACUGUGUUUGCAGGCUUGCUGCUGCUAUCGAACAACAGCAGCAGUGAGCUGUUGUGCGCGGCAGGAAGCUGUCGCAAGCUGGUUAACCGGCGCUGACAGUGACGCCGGCACCGGGGGGGAGGGGAGGGGAGGGGAAGGGAGAACAACAACCAAAAAAAUAAAUAAAUAAGUAAAUAAAAUUGAAUUAGGGUUUCACUGUUAACGGGUGAAGGAGGUUGGAGGCAGGGCGCUCAUUGCAAUUAAUGUGAUUGCAGGCCCCCGCAUGCAAUUAUGCAAAAAAGGGGGGUCAAAUGCAAUUUUUUAGGGAGGACCUAUUCUGCAAUUAGCGAAUUGGAAGGGUUUGAUUUUUAAUUUUAACUUGGGUCAAAUUGCAUAUUUUGAAAGUGUUUAAAUUUGAAUUUUAAAACGUUUUUAAAAUUGAAUUUCAAAUGAAUUUGACCCAUAAUUUUAUUUUGAGCCAAAUUAAAAAAAAAUUAUUUAAAAUUGACGACUUUAAUAUUUUCGUUAAAAUAUGAUUUUAACUUAAAAAUUAAAUUUUGACCCCUAUUGAAUUUUAUUUUAUUUAGGAGUGUUAUCAUAAUUUAAAAUAUUGAUUCAAUUUAAAUUAAAGUUGGACUCUAAUUUACGACUUAAUUAAAAUUUGAUUUUAAUUAAUUUUUCGCCCGAAGAUAUUUUAGAAGUUAGAAUUGGAUUCUAAUUUGACAUUUAAUUAAAAUUUGAUUUUAAUUAAAUUGUUUUGCCCUAAACUUUUCUUUAAAUUAGAGUUAGACUCUAAUUUAAUGUUUAAUUAAAAUUUGAUUUUAAUUAAACAUGUUCGCCCUAAGAUCUCGAAAUUAGAGUUGGACUCUAAUUUGGUAUUUAAUUAAAAUUUUGAUUUUAAUUAAAUUAAUUCGCCCUUAAUUAUUGGAAUUAGAGUUAGACUCUAAUUUUGUUAUUUAAUUAAAAUUUGAUUUUAAUUAAAUUUAGCUGCCUCACAUUUUGAAAUUAGAGUUCGACUCUAAUUUAUUCAAUUAAAAUUUGAUUUUAAUUAAAUAUUCCCGCUAAUUAAAUAAUUGAUUAAUAUGAUUAAUUAAUUAUUUAAUUGUUCCGAUCUAUUUGUCUAAAAGAAUUUAGACGACUUAAUUGCUAGAAACUUAAAAUUAAUUUGCAUAUAAUAUUAGAUAUUAUAUAGGUAUACAUUUAUGUAAUGAAUGUAUUAUUAGUGGACAAUUAUGGAUUCGACCAUAUGGAUGUGUUGAAUAGUUAAUUUUUAUUCUUAUCGUUUUAUGGGUCUGCGAGCUCUUAAUUAUUUUGGACUUGUGAGCCCGUUAUUAUUGUUAUUAUUUUGGACCUGUGAGUCCGUUAUUAUUGCUAUUGCUAUGGGUCUGCGAGUCCAAUUUCAUUUAGGCCUGCGUGCCAACUAGUAUAGGAUACAAGUUGCAAUUGGACUAAUUGAAGAGACAAGAAAAAGAGGAGACCAUAGAGAUGGUGCAUUGAUACUGAUCAGUGUGAUACCCCCUAGGAAUUGACCAACUAGUCUUCCUUAUGGCUCGGGAAGACUAGCUAGUAAAAGUCCAUAAUUGUCCACACUAUUAUAUUAUGUUAUAUAUAUAUUUAUUUGCAUGGUAGAUGUAUAAUAAUAUAUAUAUGAUUGUAUUGUUCUUGAUGAGACUUUUGAAUACAAAAUCUAUCCGUAAAAUAUUAAGUCACAUUUGUGAGCCUUCCAUCAUUAUAGUGAAAAAUCAGAGUCCCAAAUCGUCUCAACUUGUUGAGUACACUCAAUGCUGGUCCAUUAGGGAUAUGUUUGACACUAUGAAAUAUUUAAUAUUUCUGAAUGACGGGUUUGACUUAACUAAAAAUUAUCUUUUGUUGAGUACACUCAAGGAGAUAAAUUUUAGAGGCAUGUUAAGCGAACACAUAAGAGUAUGAAAACAAAGAGUUGUUAGCUUAAUGAUCUGGGAGUUGUAUGGAGAUACAAUUGAUAACAAUAUCUACCCAAAUGUUAUAUUAAGGCUUGUUGAGUACACUCAAGGUCUUAAUAUAAUGGAUGGGAUCCCAGCUCACUGAGAGUCAAGUAUGGACUCCAUAAAUUUAUGUAAGAGGGUCAUAAAUUUUAUUUAAACAGUGGGAGCAUAAUUAAUUUAAUAAAAGUCCAUGUUAAAUUAAUUGAUGCAUUUUAUAUAUAUUAUUCUUUUCCUUUCCGUCAUUUACAUUUAUAUUGAAUCGUGAGUAACCAUAUGUUUUGAAUGGCAUACUAGAUGCCAACAACCAAACUAUAUUUUUUUAAUUGACACCGCAAUUUGAGAAUUGUUCUCAUGCAUGAGAAAAUUGGUCAUGUCCUUGAGUAGCCCUUUCCAGAGACAUCUACUGAUGACUCGAUUAAAGAAGAGGUGGCUACUGUAGUAAACGCAAUUAUGACAAUAGUACUGCAAUGUAUGUGAUACUUGCAACUAUGUCACUGAGUUACAAAAGCGACUUGAGAGUAUAGAUGUUAACACAUAAUUCUUCACUACAAAGAGUUGUAUGCUAAUAAUCGUGUGUGGAAGGAUAUGAGACUUCCAAACAACUAUAUCGGUGCAAAAUGACAAAGUAAUCUUCAAUCGAUACUUAGACAUUCAAGAUGAUUGACGUUGAUAAAUGUCUCAAUUAAGUUCAAUCAUAAAUCAUGAACCAAGUAGCGACUUGGUUCUGCAAUCUUUGUCAGAGAAAGUUAUUCAUAACUAAUUAUGAAUUUAACGUAAAUAAGCUCGAAUGCAAAAUUAUUAAGUUGCUUAACAUGCUUAGGACUGUUAAGCCCUUUAUCAAAGUUGGUAGUGGGCAAACCAUUGAUUCCUCUAAAUAUAUUAAGAGGAAGUCUAAAGGGGCUUUAUGAAAGCAUCCAAUAUGGUUAAGACAGUCUAAGCGAAUGAUAAUACCAAAUCUAAUGACCCUUGAUUUCAUUAUAGAAUGAAAGGUCAUUGGAAGGAAUAUUGUAUGGCUUACGUCUACUUCAUGAGUUUCUUAGGUAUAUGAUACUAGGUGUAAAUAUCGUAUUUAUAUAAAUAUGGAGAAACUAAAUAGAAGUAAACCACUGCAAAAAGGAGAAGUUGACAUAGACGUUAGAGAUGAGCAAAGGUUGCUGCAUUGCCUGUAUGAAUAUACUUCUUGCCAUUGCCUUUUGGUUUUAGUAUUAGAAUUAGAGAAAUGUCGCUUUAUACUCACCAUAGCUGAAACAUUAAAAUGAAUUUCAUGUUCGGACAUGAACAAUUUUAAUGUUAAGGGCAAUUGUUGUUCUUGUUUAUCUUGAUAAAGAUCCCAAUGGUUAUGGUAGAUUACAAAAUGAUGUUUAUAUUCUUUAAUAUUAAAGAUUCUAUAAUGAGUAUAGAAAUUAAAAGGCAUAAAUGCGAUAAUCUAAUUAUUACCAAAAUCUGGCAUGACAUACUUUGUCAUUUAGAUGAAAUGUAAUUCAAAAGCUACAUAAAGAUGUAUACUUGGGAUUAAUUGACUUUGACAAGUAUAAAUUAUGCAUGUUUGGCACAUUGACCAAAUCUUCUUUUACUUGAAAAGAAGAAAGGUCAGCAUAAUUACUGGUCUAAUGUAUGGUGAUGCAUAUGGACUCAUGUCAAAAGAUGCCAGGUAAUGUUUCUCUUAUUUCAUCAAUGAUCUUGUAUACUUGAUGAAAACUCAAACAUGAAAUUCUUGAAAAGUUCAAAGGAUUUACACUAAAAUUAGAGAAACAAAUAGGUAAAGAUACCCACACAUUAAGAUUCGAUCCAGUGAGAGUAUCUUAAAGAUAAAAUUUAGAUUAUCUAAGAGAGAAUGAGAUUCUCGUGCAGUGGACUCCUUCAUAUACACUGCAUCAAGGUGGUGUAUCUAAAAGGAGGAAUCGUUAAUUAUUACAUAUAAUGCGAUUAAUAACAAGCCAUGCAAAUUUCUCAAAAUUGUUUUGAGGUCACGCAUUGAUUGCAGUGUGCAACACACUAAACCAUAUCCCAUCUAAAUUGGUUAACAGAACUCCAUACGAGUUAUGGAAAGACAAGAGUCCCAAUUUAUUUUAUAUGAAAGUUUGGGACCAUGACGCUUAUUUGAAGUGCCUUAAAUCGGAUAAGUUUGAGAUCGAAUCCGAUAGAUACAUAUUUGUGGGAUAUUCAAAUGAGACAUUUGAAUAUAAAUUCUAUUAUCAUGAAGAAAAUCUUCGUCUCACGACAUAUCAUCUUUUUAGAGAAAAUGUUUACUCUUGGAGAAGACAGUGGGAGUAAAAUAGAAUUUGAAAGAGUUCAAGAGUCCACAGAUAUAGUUAACCAAGUAGAUAAAUCUGAGUUUGAUCCCAUAUCUGAUAUGGGACAUACUUUGGAUCAGGAAGUAAAGACUCAUGAGGACAUGACAGCUCUAUGUGAAUCUAGUAGGAUCAUUCGACCUUCCAGAAGAUGCAAAUUCAUGAUCAUUAAUCAGGUAUUAGUGAUCCAGGGCAAUGAACCUGAUAAUUGCAACAAAAUAAAGUCAAGUGUUGACUUAAAAGAGACAGCAUGAGGCCAUGAUACUCGAGAUGAACUCAACGUAUGUGAACAAGGUUUGGACCUUGGUUAAGCCUCCUGAUGGAAUAAAACCCAUAAGGUUUUCUAAAUAGUUUACAAGGGAAAUGUCGAUAUGGAAGUGGAUAUCCAUAUAUACAAAGCAAGGCUAGAAGCAAAGGUUAAGUGUUGACCUUGGUGAAACUUUUCUCCUGUGACCUUGCUGAAGUCCAUUCGGGUUUUAUUUGUAACAGUUGCAUAUCGUAACUAAAUGUUAAGAUAAGUCUCUAUAGAGCUGAAAUCUUCGAUUUGAUGGAAAAAGUCAAAGUAUUUUAUUUUAUCAAAUUUGAAGACGAAUUGUGUAUUUACAAAAAGAUAGUGGGAGCAUUGUCCUGUUCCUAAUAUUAUAGAAAACGAUAUCCCUAUGUUUCAAUCGUUGAAAUAAUGGUCGUUAAAGGAUUUAUUCAUAAACGAAAUGGGAUAAGCAACUUGAUUUAUAGAGGUAGAUCUAGAAGAUUGCUUAACUCAUCCGAAUUUACAUAGAUGAAAUCUUGAGAAGAUUUCAUAUGGAGAAAAUAGUUUACUCUUAAGAGGUAUGUUGGAAAGGUUCCAAACGUGAAGUAACCGUUGAUUCAAUAGUAGAAACCUAAUACAUGGAUACUUCAGAAGUAGCAAAGAGUUGCAAUAUGGAUCAUGAUGUUAGUAAAUGAACUUGGAGUAGUUCCUGAUAUUGUUGAUCACAUACAAUAAUAUUGUGAUAACAAUAGAGCCAUUGCGAAAGCAAAGGAACUAAGGUCUCAUCAAUGAUCCAAACAUGUAUUAAGGCGGUAUAAUCUCAUCAAAAAGAUAAUACAUAGAAAUGAUGUAAAGAGAAGAGCAAAUUUCCACAUUUAAUAAUAUUGCAGAUCCAUUGACAAAGAGUUGUCGUAGUAUAGACAUGAUCGUCAUGUAGACUUAUGAUAUUUGAUACAUAAGUGAUUGGAUCUAGUGCAAGUGGGAGUUUGUAAGUAUUAUGCCGUAGGUCCAAUCAACUUCGGACAUAAAUACUUUUAUAUAUAAUUAAUGCAAUUAAAUGGCAGAUCUAUUAUUUAAUUAAUAGACAAUUAAAUAAAUAAUAAAGUCGGUAGAUUCAAAUAUUUGUAAUUUGUUAAUCACAAGGAAUUGUGAUUGUGAGAUACAAAUUACAUCUGACUGAAUCUUAAAUCAUCCGUGGUCGUGAGUAAUAAUGAGAUACGGAUAUCGUUAUUACGGAUAGACCAUCACGUGUGGCAUUUCUUACUUGUGAAGUGAGUAGUUGAUCUCACAAGUUAAAGUGUGGUGACACUUAAAUGAACACGUGGAUGUUUUGUUAUAGAACAAAACAUUGGAGACCCGUCGAGAGAUUUCACAUGGAUAAUUAUUUGAGUGUCAGUGGUUAAUCUCUAACGUUCGGUAGUGGAAUUGGUCCUUUGACUUGAGGUCGUCAUGGUACCUUAUAUAAAGACAGUCAUACUUUGGCGAUGUUGGAUGUUGCUCUGAAAAGGGCUGCUAAUACGACAUCGUUCGGGUGCGUCAAGAACCGUAUGAAGGUUGUGAUUGAUCAAUAAAGGAUUCGUCACUCUUAGAUAGUAGGAGAUUAUGAUCUGCGUUGCAUUCAAUUAAGUCAAUGAUGAAAUCCUUGGUCAAGGUGUACUCAUAAGUCGAAAAAAGAGUUUUCGACUUAUAUUGACUUAAUAGUGGAGUGAAAGAUAUGAUCGAUGAUCGAGAUUGGCACAAUUCCGUAUCUCGUAAUUGAUCAGAUCAUAUUGACGAAGAGAUUAUAGUUUCACGGUAAACGAACGAAUUUGAUUUUGUCAUACCACGUGACAUGUCCUGUCACAUGUAUUGCCCUGACACAUUGCUAGAUGUCAAUCAAGGACGGCGAGUGUGAAUUGACGAUAAAUUAAAAGGGUGUUUUAAUUUAUCAAUUUAGAUUAGAUCAAAAUAAUAUUUCACGUCGUUAGGCAUCUGGUCGGGAACCUAAUGGCUCGCACAUAAAAGAAAAUUGGAAGAUUGUAAAUUACCAAUUGGUUAAUUUAAUAAUCGUUGGAUAAAUUAAUUAAUUGGAUUUGUUAUUUAUAUUCCCGAAUUAAUUAAUUGGAUUAAUUAAUUCACGGACCGAAUUUAAUUAAUUGAAUUAAUUAAAUAUUGGACCGGAUCGGGCCGAGCCCGUUUGGGUUUAUAUAAAUACAUAAUUAGGGUUUGAGUUCCAUAUGGUUUUCAUUAUUCUUGCUGGCACAAGAGAGAAAACCCUAGAAGCUGCAAUCUUAUUCUCUGUGUGGAUCACCGUUGGAGGUUGGACAAUUGGACAGCUGUGGUGGCGAAUCAAGACUGCAGAAUUCUUCAAAGGUACAAUCUUUAUCACGAUUUCUAUCUAAACACAAAGAGAUCCUCGGUGGGAAUCGAAAAUUAUUUUAAAUUUCGCUGUGCAUGUAUAAGUAGAUUCCCAACACAACGAUCGUGCACGCUUGCGUAUUUUGUCCAAACAAGUUUUUUGCUCCAUUGCUGGAGAAGAAUGGAUUUAAUUUUAGUUUACUAGUUUAUAUUAGAUUAUAUUUAUAUUUAUAUUUUUGUUGAUUUUAGCUACCCACCCUGAUCUCUAUUGUUUGACAUUCUUUCUAGGUGCUAUUCAGCAGUAUAUUUGGAUUCUGACGCUGGCAUGUUAAAAAGAUUUUUGCAAUAAAUAAUCUCGACAUGAACUAUAAGAUGAUAUUUAUUGUGUAUUCUACUAUGGGGUGCAUUAUAGUGGCUACUAUUUGAAUACAUGCACCAAACUCUAUCAGUUCAAGCUGCUACGGUUUACGUAAUAUUUAAGAUGUCAAAACUAGCAAUUGAUACAUAUAUUGAAGGCUACAUGCCUAUGGGCGAGUGUAUCCCUUUCGACACGCUUGUGGGAUUUGAUCAUUUCAUGUCGAACGAGGAGGUACUUGCAAAAUACUACACUAAUCUUGCUAAGUUGGAUGAAAACAAACUGUGUGUGAGAGAUGGCCUAUUCUGGCAGGAAUUUAAAAGGUGGGAGUAUAAUCCACUCAAAAAGUUUAAAAGAAAAGAGUUUCCAUGGCUCAUGGAUUUAAAUUGUGAAACGAUCAUUUAACCCAAGGAUAUAUCAAUUAUGGAAGAUGAAAACAAAGACGAUGAAAGUUCAAUUACAUAUGACCAAAACAAAGAUAAGGCAAUUAAUGAAGAAGGCGUUAACCCACAUUCCAUGGACUUCAUUGAUUGCCCUAUCAUUGAAUUUGUAAUUAAGCCGAAAGAGGAGGAAGAAGUUUAUGUAGUUGAAUUUGAAUCAGAUGAGAUUGGCAAGUCAUAUCAUAUUGGAGGGGGCAGUGUUAAAAUUUGUAGAAGCAACAAAGAGUGGAGCAAAGUCAAAAGAGGCAAAUUGAGCAAAGCAUCAAUAGUGUUCUUCAGAAUUCCAUGAUUUCAAAACAGUGAAGACAAGCUAAGGACAUUAAAUAAAGUGUUUAUUAGGAGGCAACCCAAUUUUUCUUUCCUUUAUUUAUUAUGCUUUCUAGUCAUAUGAUAAUUUAGUUUAUUUAUUAGUUUUAAUUAGGGACUCAUCAUCCAUUUGUCAUUUUCCCUUAUGUCCUCGAGAUUUAAUUAGUUUAUUAGAUGUUUGAGUUAAAUAACAUUUGUUCCAAAUAUUCAACCUUAAAUGUUUUUAUCUAAUCAUAUUGUGCAUGGAUAUGACAACAUAGAACACUGAACCAACAAUGACCAAGAAGACAAUGGAGAGCAAUUGGAAAGCUAGCUAUUGAAUAUGUGGAUUUAGAAUUUAAGACAUUGAGGAUAAUGUCUAGUUUAAGUUUGGUGGUGAAAACACGAGUUUUCUUUUGUUCUUUUGUUUUUGUUCAUGUUCUAUUGCUUUAGCUAUUAAACCAAAAAUAAAAUAAAAUAAAAUUUGAAAUGUUUAAAAAACUCCAAAACUAUUUUAUUUGUGCGAGUUAGUUGAUCUGGCAAGUAAUGAUGAAUUUAUUAAAUUAUAAAUUGAUCUACGAAUGAUGAAUAGGUUGCAUGCUUAGGUUAAUUUUUACUAUUCCAUGUGAAAGCUGAUAUAUAUUGAGCAAAUGAAUUAAGUUAAACAUUAUGUAGGAAUGACUUGAAUUCAUAAUUGGAUAGGUUAAAAUAGUGGACAUAGAUGCGAAACCCAAAGUCACUAAAUUCUACAUCCUUAGACCAAAUUUGGAAUAGUUUGGGAAGAUUUCAUUGUUGUAGAAAGAUGUUAAGAUAAAUGGGAAUUCCAUACGUGAAAUUAAAUAUCUUGUGGGGAUUCUCUAAGGUCAAUAGGAUGAAAGUGGAUGAAAGUCUUAAGUUAAAUGUCAAUUUACUUGAAUAGAUGUUUAAUGAGGGACAUUGCACUAAUCAAGGUAUAAAAAAUAUUUUAUUUGAAAAUUUUUCUUUGUGACCUUGAUGGUUCAAGCCAUUAAGCAUGUAAUAGUGUCAAAACUUGUUGCCCUAAAGUCAACUGACUUGAAAGACAUUGGUCUAAAGUUUGUCAAAUGGGCUAUUUAGAAUGCUUAAAGGAGAGAAUGCUGCAAAUAAAGAAAAUAGUGUUGAAAUAAAAAUUGAGGAAUAUAUAUAUAUAUAUAUAGAAAAAGUGGGUUUAUAAACAAAAGAUGUAUCAAAUACCUUGGUUAAACCCAAAACACUUAGCUAGGGAAAUUUUGACUUUUCAAAACGGAUUUUUAGCCUAGUUAAGUCCUGGAGAUUGAUGGAAUCAAAAUUAAAGGAAAAUCCUAGUCUAUUGGCAUGUUAAUAUGCAAUUGGUAAGAUUCUCCUAAACUAGAGAGGUGGGGAUAGUAUAAAAAUCAACUUUAGAUUACACACUUGAAAAGAGUGAAAAGAACAAGUUUGGAGGUAUUUGAAUCUCACAAGUGAAGAUAAGAACAUAUUUGACUAUCAAGGAUCGGGAAUGGAAGAACUUUUGAAUUCAUGAUACUAUUCUUAAUUCUUCACACACACACGUCGACUUUGCAUUGGAAAAUAGACUUUGAUUUCUUUAUUAUGAUCUUGAAGCUGUGCUUAAAUUUAAUAUCAUGAUUUCAAUUUGGAGAUAAAAUGUCAAGUUAGCUAGCUAAAUAUUUUUUCUUGCUUGCGUGUUUAUUUUAAGUUAGGUUAUAAUUUUGUUUGAGAACAAACAAAUGUUCAAGUUUGAAGGUUUGAUAAGCGUAUUUUACACACUUAUUUGAGCUCUAAAUAAUGACAUUUGUAUUUCUUUUGAUGAAAUAUAGUAUAAUUCGUGUUAUAUUAUGUCUAAUAGGUAAAACUCAUGAUUUGAUGAAAAAUUGGAGAAAACAAGAGAAAAAUGGCAAAAUAAAAACUAUGGGGAUUAAAAUUUAAUAAUUCAAAAGUUGUGCUACAUUGCGAGAUGGUGAUUCAAGAAUGAAAAGAGUCAAUUGGAGUUGAAGAGAAGUCAACAAGAUGAGAAAUUAUCAAAAAGAUAAUAAAAAAAAAUGCAUUGCAAAAUGUUCCAAGAUCAAUUUGCAAAAUUGGUUCCAAAAAUUUGUACAAAUUUGUAAAAGCUUAAUAAUACGGACCGAAUAAAGUAAAAUUUAAUACUAAAAUGACACAAAGCUUAGUACUAAGGACCAAAUAAGUGCACAAAAUCACACUUAUCUGUUACGAUCAUUGAACUUUCUUCCAUUUAGUUUUGAAUACAAGCGGUUUCUCUACCACCUAAUGUAUGCUAUUAUUGAAAGCCAACUAUUUGGCGAUUAUAUAGUGUGAAUAAAUCUUGUCAUUUAACUUAGGGUUCUUAGAUUUGUGUCCCCCUAGUGUGGCUAGGCACAAGGUAAAGAGUGUAGGCUUUAAUGGUUUUUAUGGUUUUGUCAUUAGUUCUCCUAUGUGAUUUUCUAUUCUUAGACUGUAUUACAUAGUCAAAAAGAAAUGAAGAUUGUCAAGAAUCAAGUGUAUAAUCUGAUAGAAGAUCAAUGGUUUGGUGAACGAUAUAUAUAUAUGACAAUAUUUAUACUUAUAAAGUAUGAAAACCCAUGGGCUACAAUUAUAGUGUGUGUAGAGUUAUUUUCAUUAAUAUUAUGUAUCUUUUAAAAAAAAAAUUGCAUUUAAAAUUUUUAUCCCACAACAGAAAUUGUCGGGCUCCGCCACAGCAUGCAUGUGUCAUGCAUCCCUAGUUCAAGAUGAAAAUGUUAUUGAGAGAGUAUAUGCAUUAAAAAAUUUAAUGUUCUGCAAAAAUUUCGAUUGAGACAGUUUUUGGAGUGUUUAAUGACUACUUGAAAAGUGUUGUCUUUUGUAUCUUUGAAUAUACAACUAUAAUGAACAUGCUUUUAUUGUUUAUCCCAUGCAUGGGAUCCACGUUCUUUUAAAUAAAUUUUUGUUUAGUCGGGUAUUCAAAAAUAUCAAACUAAAAAUGUUUUAAUGAUCUACAUUAUUAUUUAAAAAGAAUUUGGUUGGUUUUAAUAAUUGACAGUGCAAUAAUAAUGAACACUCAUCUAUUGCACACUCAUUCGUCAUUAAUAGUACACAUUCAAUAUACACACACUUUUAUCCACAAAUGCAUAGGAUCCACAUUUUAUAUGUUGACUGUUGUUCAUAUGGUGUUCAAAAACUUCUGAAUUUAAACACUUUUACAAUUGUUUCGUGACUAUUUAAAAGGGUAUGGCAAGGUUUUCCUCAUAGACAGUACAACGGUAAUGGUCAAUUGAUCUCGCCUUCUACCCACCACAACUCCAACACCACUUGGUUAAUUGACAACAAUGCCUUCAUAUUAAUACUCAUCAUAUCCCACAAAGCUCUUUGUAUCCACCAUUUUUAUAUUAACAAAUUUCUACCAUAAAUUCCAACUUUUUUUUUCUAAAGCUCAUGUGCUCUCAAUCUUACUAUCUAAACGAAAAUAUUUCAAUUUGUAAAACCUAGAAAAUACAGAUGGAGACCUAGAAAAUCUGUGGACAGUUGUAUAUACUUAGUUGUCAUCAUCAAAUGUGAUGAUGGUGUCUACAUCACGGCCCAAUCACAAUCUUCCUAGUACCCUAUUACAUUAUUUUACCAAUCUCCAAUCUCAUCACAGUCAGGCUUUCAAGUCUAUGAACAUGGAGGAAAUUCUAAAGAAUAUUUACUAUGAUUCGGAGUGUUUUGCUUUGGAUAUAAUGGGAUUGCUUGUUUUCGUGUUGGUCCUGGAGGAGAAUUGAAGAUAAGGAGUAACUGGGAGGACUACAAGAAAAAUAAAAAACAAAAUCAAUUUUAUCUAAAUAUGGAGAUAACUUGCUUCAAUUUCGCAACUUUAGCAAGAGGAAAGUAUUUAUUAGAGACUUUCUAGACUAGAUCAUUCCAGUGAUGAAGUUUGGAGUAUGAGUCCAGCCAUUCUCUUUGAUUCUGGUUUGAUCUUUAAAUUGAAAAAAAAAAGUUAGAAAAGAGACAACAUGAGAAUACCAUCUAUGGGUCAUUACAACGUGCACGUGUUGUGCAUUCGUUGCUCAAGAAGGAAAAAAGUUACUGAGAGUAUGUAUGUGUGUGUGUGUGUGUGUAUAUAUAUAUAAAACUCAAACUCAAGUGAAAUGAAGCCCCGACGGGUAUACCGGUGGUUGAUUAGAAGAGGAAGCAUGCCCUCAUAUGCUGCUGGAAGUAAAGGCUCUUACUUUCCCUCUCAUAGUUCGAUCCCAUUGUGAUCUCAUUUUGUAUUACUAAAAAUUAGGGCUAGAUAAUACUCCCGAACCUAAUCAAGUGGUUUAAUUCGAUUCUUGUUUGAUUAAAUACCUGAAUUGGAACUAAAAUUGAGAAUCGACGGAUUUAGUUUAGUUCUUGGUUCUAGAUCAAAAAUCGAAUCUCCCAAUUUUUUAAAAAUGUUUUAUAUUGAACAAGCGAAAUUAUUUUAAUUUUUUUCUAAGCCCUUGUUUGAGCCUCAUUUUUUCAAAACUUAUUUUCAACCACACAUUCUUCUAUAUAAUAAUUAUACACGUAUUUUAUUUUUAAAAAAAUUCCCUACUUUUUAAUCACACAUCCUCCAAAAAACCACUAUUCCAUAAUGCCUUUUAUCCCAUAUUUUUGAAUCAAACAUGGGGUAAACAAAUUUGUCAAUUAAUUAAUUAAGUAAUUAACUGUAAUUGCGCAAGGCUCCAACUCUCUAGGGCCAACCCAACUCAAGUCCAAAAUAUUUUUGCUACAAAUUUCAAUUCGACUACAACUUUACUUCACAAUUCGCCCGACACUCACUUAUUCUGUCAUUUAGGUUUUUCCAUGACCCUCAUUUUCGGCCGCUUCCCAAUCAGAAGCCACGACUUCAUCUUUCCUCCUCAAGAUUCACACGGACCACACCAUCAUAUCAUAUAUUUUUCCAUAUUAAAUCUUAUUAGUUGGACAAUUUUUUGAUUAGUUGUGCUUGUUAGAUAUGUUUUUUCAAUUAUCUCUCAUGGAGUUUUUUAGUAUGACAAGUCAAACAACGGAUAAAUAAUUUAAAUGGUAGAAAAGUACUAGCAAUACUAAAAAAUAUUUUAUUUCUAUAACUUUUAUUUUAUAUUUCACUGUUUCAUAUAUAUUUGUAGGCUUGAAGAAAAGGAAUCAAUGGAAUAGAAUUAUCGAUAUUUGAGCGUUGUUAUUUACUUUUUGGUGAUUUGUAUGCAUUGAUUAAUGGAACUUAUUAGACAACUUGUUAUUUGUAUAUUUUGAAUCUGAACUAUGUUAUUUUUUAGGAGUUAAAAUUGAACAUAUCAUUGGUUGCAUUAAUGUAGUGUUGAUUUAAAUAUUAAAAAAUUUAAUUAUAGUACGAAUCCGAAUGGGACCAAACUGAUCAGUUCCAUAAUUAAAUUUUGAUUUGACUAUUAUACUUAAUAAAUAACUAAAAGUUCUGGUUUGGCCUACUAAAAAUGAUCGGAAGUAUCGUAAUACUUAGUCACAUUUCCUUCCCUUCCCAUAUGGGAAAAUUACAUUGAAUGUUCCGGGGAUUUAAAAAUAAAAUAAAAUAAAAUCAUUUCUAAUUGAAAUCUGAAUUUAUAUUUCUUUAGCAAUCUCUGUUUCCAACAAAUCUCGUAUUAUUGUCAUACAUAAUUACAUGAUACAAUAUUCCUGUUUUCCUAUGAUGUGCUUUACCGUCUAUGUUUUACCUUGUGCAAUUUACAAUGACAUGCACUACUUACAAUAUAUUGGACAAUCAAGGAAAGGAUGAUUACAAAAUCAUUUUUAAAUUUGGCUCUUUGUUUUAGCUUAUGCCAUUCAAGUAGCUUCUUUUGCAAAGUUAUGGAUACAUCCAUUUAUAUCUUCGUACAACGGCCUCUUAUGUUUUGACAUGGAGUAAUAUGGUAGUUAAUGAUUUCUAGGGAGAAUUUUCUGAGGCUUCAGGUAGAUAUGUUAAUAAAAACGGAAUCCGACUUAUCACUUUCCUGUAUGAUGCAAGUCAAUCCCCCAACAAGCUCCCUAUACGAUGUCACGAUAUUCCUUCAAUAGGUCAACCAGUGAAAAAUAAUUUGAUGAUGCCAAGAUUUGAGUUCUUUCUAUCGCCAGGCAAGAUAACGAUUAUCUUGAGGGUUUGUUGUAAUAGACGAUUCACAGAAAAGUAAACAAAAGAAUAACACCCAAAACACAAAGAAACUUCUCUUAAAUUCACUCAAUAUUAUUAAAACUCCAGAAUGCAAAAAUAAACCCACAAGUCGGGUUAAAUAGCUUAGAAAAUACGAAAUUAUGGAAAUUUUAUCAAAAAUAUCAAAAUCCCAAAAAUCACACCAAAAUAAAAUACGAAAUAAAAGAAGUAACUUUGUGCGCACCAAAAAAAGCUUUCCAAAUUGAUGUCAUAAUUGCGAUUUUGAUAACCAUUGCGAAAGUUAUGGCCAAACUACCAAAAAAAAGUCAAAAUUACCCCAAUUAAGAAAAGUAUUGCAAUCACUUUCCAUCUUUGUGCAGAUCCACCAUCUCAUGGUAUUUCAGCACCAUCAACGUUCUAUCUAACAUCUCGGCCUCACUUGAUUCGGAACCUCCUGCAUCAGUUUCCAUCCAAAUGCUAUUUGUUGCUACUUUUUACGGCAUGCACCUAUACGCCGCAUAAUACUUAUUACGAUGUGCAAUGCAUGCCGUAAAAAGUAAACUUUGUUGUAGUGUUUCCAAUUUACAUGAUACAAUGUCCCCUGUUUCUUUGUUGUACUUCACAAUUUAUACUUUUUCUUUUUGGUAAAAUGUCCAUCGAAAUGCUUUGCUUAUACAGAUUUAUUAUGAAGGUCAAAGUGCUUGAAACCAUAAAAGAAAGCAUAGAUCUAAUGAAAAGCAUCUUCGUGUUGGAGGGUGUAACAUAUCAAUACGGUGUAGCCUAUACAUAUUCUGAAGAUUUAUAUAAACCCUCACAUGACAAGAUACUUAUUAGUUAACAGUAAGCACAUACAAAGAACAAAGGCACGACCUAUUCUGUAAUGUCUUGAAAAUGAUUAUCAUCAUAUAUCCAAUAUUUAUGUGUCCCCCGAGUAAUUAAGAAUCAAUGAUUUAAAUUGUUACAUGAAAAUAAUGGAGUUUAAAUCACAAACCAAACCAACAAAAACCAUUUGGUUGCUUCACAAUUGGCCUUUGUUGUGAGAAACAAAUUUGUUUUCUUUCCUAUGGUUCAAUUCCCAUGGUCCAGUUGGAGGAUAUUAACAAAAUGGAUAUCUAAAGUACGCUUUAUAUUUAGUCAAAUUCUUUCCUUUCCGAUAUGAGAAAAUUAUAUUCAAUGUUUCGGCGACAAAAAAAAGAUUUCCUUUUAUUUUCAUUGAUAUGCACUACAUACCCAGAUGUAUUAGAUGAUCAAGGAAAUGGUGACAAAAAAAUUACGGUCAUAUUUGGUUCUUCGUUUUAGUGUAUGCCAUUUUAUGUAACUUCUUUUGUAAAUUUGUAGAUACAUAUGUCUGUUUAUUUCUUUUGGUUGCUUCACCAUUGGCCUUUUUUUAAACAAACACUCUAGUUUUCUCUCUUAUUGUCGAUCCCUGUGGUCCAAUUUAAGAAUGCUGUUAUAUAAAGUACCCUUGAUAUUUAGUCACAUUUCUUCCUUUCCCAUAUGAGAAAACUACAUUCAUUGUUUUGGCGAUAAAAAUGGAUUUCUUUUGAUUUGAUGUAUGGAUUCUGUGAGUGUAUUAUGUCAUCGGAAAUGAGUUUUAAUUAAAUCUCUCAUAUCAUCAUUAUACAUGAUUUACAUGAUACAAUAUCUUCUAGUUUGUGUUGUGCUUCACAAUCUUUGCUUUACUUGCUAUCAUAUACAUCAAUGGGCAUUACUUACACAGAACUAUUUCACGUUCAAGGAAAGGAUGAUUUGUGAAUUUCUGGAUUAGAUCAUUCCAAUGGUGCAGCUUGGUGGAUGUGAGUCCAACAAUACUGUGGGAUUCCAAUAAUUGCAAAAAAAGUAAGAGAAGAGACCAAAAGAGUAGCACUUGCAUGAGUCGUGCAAACAUCGUGCAUGUGUUGUGCGUUCGUUGUUCCACAGGAAAAAGGUUAUUGAGAAAGUACAAGUAUUAAAAAUUCAAUGUUCCACAAAUUUCAAAUGAAACACAAUUUUAUUAUUGUUACUUGACUAUUUAAAAGGAUUUGAUUGGUUUCCUUCCAUGGAAACUAUAUUUACAAAAAUGUGUUUCGUUCAAAAAUUUCUGUUAAGGCAUAUUUUUGGGAGUUUUACAUGACUAUAUAAACACAAUUUGGUAGGUUUCUGUUAUUGAUGGCCAAAAUUAUAUUGAACAUGCAAUUAUUGCCCACCCAAUGCAUAAGAACCAUGAUCUUAUAAAUUGAUUUUUGUUUGGCCCAGUAUUCAAAAAUGUCAAGUAAAACACAUUUUGAUGAGUGUACAUUAUUAUUUAAAAGGAAAUUGGUCUGUUUUCAAUGAACACACAUUCAUUGUACGCACAGUGCAUGGGACUGACGUAACUUUUGAUGAGAUAAUCGUUCAAAAUAUUUAAUGAGAUGCAUUUUUGUGAGUGUUACAUGUCUAAUUAAUAAAUGAUUGGCCAGUUUUCAUUAAUGAUAGUGCAAUGACAUGAGCAUUUAUUUAUUUUCCACUCAACGAUAGGACCCAAAUUUUAUAAAUUCAUUUUUUUCAUAUGUUGGUCAAAAUUUUUGAAUCUAGACAUUUUUAGAAUUUUAUAAAUUUGAUUUUAUCUCCUUUUACUUUUCUAUGUCAUUAUUCAUCAUUGAGGUAUGAGAUUUUGACAUUGCAAUUGAUUUUGGAGGAAUGUUAGAAAUUAUAGGUUCUAAUGUUUAUGUUUGAUUUCCUGUCCUUUUUCCUUCAGACCUUUUCACCCAAAUCUGUGCUCCAAUUGCAAUAUGUAUUAUAAAUUUAAAGUGCAAAGGAUUAUGACUCGGUUAUGAUUGAUGGGCACUUUAUUUCCAUUGGACACUGAAAGAAAAAAUAUUUGAAUCAAAGCAUUUGGGCAAGGGUAUUGAUUUUAACCUCCUUAUCACUAUCCCCCAGACUAAUGAAGGUUUGUUUGUUUCUAUAAGAAUUUUUUUGAGACUUUUAAUUGUUAAAACAAAUUCUGUGCGUGUUAACUGUUACAGCUCCAUUGAGUGUCAUUACCGCCUCAAUUUUAUUGUAUUUUAAAUUAUAAUAGUAAAACUAUGAACCAUUUCGGCUAUGAUCAUUGAAUUUGCUUCGAUGUAGUUUUGAAUGCAAACGGUUUCUCUAGCACCUCUUGUAUGCUAUUAUUGAAAGCCAACUGAUUCGUGAUUAUAUAUUGUGAAUAAAGCUUGCCAUUUAACUUACGGUUCUUAAAUUUGUGUCCUCUAGUGUGGCUAGGCACAAGGUAAAUAGUGUAGGCUUUAUUGAUAUUUAUGGUUUUGUCAUUAGUUCUCCUAUAUGAAUUUUUAUUCUUAGACUGUAUUACGUAUUUAAAAAGAAUUGAAGAUUGUCAAGAAUUGAGUGCAUAAUCGGAUGGAAGAUCAAUGGUUUGGUGAAUGAUGUAUUUGAAAAUAUUCAUAAUAGUGCUAUUAUACAAAGUGUUUAAAGUAUGAAAACCCGCAAAUCACAAUUGUAGUAGUGCACUAACUAUUUUCACUAAUGUUAUGUAAAUUUUUAAAAAAUUUGCAUUUAAUUUUUUUAUCCCACACAGAAAUUGAAUGUCUACGCCACUGCGUGCAUGUGUUGUGCGUUCCAAUUUCAAGAUGAAAAAGUUAUUGAGAGAGUAUAUGCAUAAAAAAAAAAAUCAAUGUUUUGAAAAAAAAAAAAAAAUUCAAAUGACACACAAUUUUUGGAGAGUUGCAAGACUACUUGAAAAAUGUUUUGUCUUUUGUAUCUUCAAAUGCACAACUUUAAUGAACACACAUUUAUUGCUUACCAAAUGCAUGAGAUCCACGUUUGUUUAAAUUAACUUUUGUUUAGUUGGGUAUUCAAAAAUAUCAAACUAAACAUGUUUUGAUGAUCUACAUUAUUAUUUUAAAAAAAUUUGCCUGGCUUUAAUCAUUGACAAUGCAAUAAUAAUGAACAUUGGCAGAUUUAGGGUGGAGAAUGGUAGUUCACUUGCCGCACCAAUUUUUAUUUUUUUUUAUUUUUUUUGGUUUUUGUUUUGUUGCUAGGGGUUUAAUGAAAAAUGUAUUACAUUGUUAGUAGGGGAAAAUUGGGAUUGUGUAUUAAUAUUAUGGUUAUAUUAUUUGUAGGAUUUUGAAAUGGACAAAUUUCUAAUUAUUCGAAUAAUUCUAAUGUUUUAAAUUAGUAAAUAGUGGUUAAUAUAUUUCAUUUUAUUUUAUGUUAAAUUUAAUAUCAUUCAAAAAAAUUAAUAGUUUUUUUCCCAAUUAUUAUUGCACUAUAUUUUGGGUAAUCAAACUAUGUUAUUUUAAUCUUGAUUUAUACUGAAAGUUCAAAUUAUAUUUGAUUGAUUUGUACAUCUUCUAAUAAAGUGCUUAG